Molecule: long non-coding RNA, 61715 nt
Filed under: Eucalyptus grandis
Lineage: Eukaryota; Viridiplantae; Streptophyta; Magnoliopsida; Myrtales; Myrtaceae
Description: long non-coding RNA (EGRA_LNC004229)
Source: RNAcentral
UCUUUGUACAACGGGGUUUUCAAUUUCACGUCAUCGGGUUUCACGUCGUAGAAGAUGGGCAAUAUGACCUUCUCUUUCCCAUCUUCUUUAUUUUUAGAGGUGUUCUCCACCAUCUUCGCAAGCUCGUCGAGGCACCAGUGACUUGAAGCAUAAUCUUUGGAGAAGAUGGGUAUGUAGAGCUUGGAAUUGUCAAUUGCUUGUAGAAGGUUGCCACUAAUUCUUUCACCUGGUCGAAGCCCUUCAUCAUCGAUGAAAACACUAAUCCCAGCAUUUACCAAGGCUUGGUGGAGGAUAUCGGUGAAUGUACGACGAGUAUCAGGUCCUCUAAAAUUCAAGAAGACCUGGUACUUACCUCCUGAUGGAUUGCUGGUGCUUGUUCCUGUCUCUGAGUUCACCAUCGGAGCUCACUUCGCACUUAGCAAGGUCAGCCCUCUUACUUGGUCUUUGAGUUUGCCAUAUGACAUUUCACAUAUUUGAAUCCAAUCCAAUUUGCCGUCCAAAACGCGUAUAGGCAACUUCGUAGCAGGUGCAAUUUCCAGUUUGCAAUCAAUAAAGUUGAUGGCUUUAAAAAAGAAAAAUAAGGCGGAGGACAAUUAUGGAGGUGCCCCUUUUUAUACGCCCAAUUUCUUUCCAGUUUCCCCUUUGUGUUUUUGAACUUUUGGAUUAAAAAUAUUUGAUUCUUUAUAUCUAUAGUUAGGCAUAUUUAUAAUCCCAAUCUAGAAUUGUAAAAUGACAAUUUAUUUAUAUAGAAAAACAAAUUAUUCCUAAAGGAUCGCCUCUUAUUCUAAUACUUGGGACUGUAGAUAAUUAGAAAUAUCUCCUUGUUACUAUAGAGAUUGGAUUUGCUGCAUUCUCUACAACAAAUGCUCUACCUAAGCAUAUACGUACUACUUACUAUGAAAUAUUUGUUUUGAUCUCUUUGCCUUCAAGACUUCCUUUAAUUUUAAGUCAUUUCCUUUAACAACUCAAAUAUUCUCAUAAAAUGUGCAAUUAUAUUAAAAAGCAAAUGAUAAUUUAUUUUCUACUGAUAACUAUUAGAAUGUAAGCAUGGUGCAGUUAGUGUGCAUUGGACGUUAAACCAAAUCAAAUUAUAUAAAUAUGAUAGAAUAUAUUUCGAAUUUGAAAUUGUUGGAUGAAAUAGGACCAGAUGAGACUUAUGGAUGCUCCACCACUAUUCAAAAUUGGUGAGAUGAAAUGUAGUGAUGGCCUGUCAAUGGCCAUGAUGCCACUCCAUCCUGGUGUUGCUGUGAGCACGAAAGAAAGAAAAAGAAACCAUGAUGGUCUUGACCAUAAGAGAUGGCUUUGCUCAACUGAAGAAAGGGAAAACGAGAUCAAUGAUGGCCAUUGCCAAUAAUCGACCGAAAGGGAAGAAGUCGAAGAAAGUCACGAGGACGAUGUCUUUUCAUGUUGGCCACUCGUUGUUUCCUUUCUUCUCUAUUUGGUUCUGCUGAAUUUCCCCUUUAGAAACCAAGAGGAAGAGCUCUCAAUGUCAUAGAGAGCUCCGAAGGCUGCACAGAGCAUAUUGAAAAGCGUGCUGAAAGUUCCUCUUGAUCACACCAAAUAUUUCUUUUCUGAAGCCUAUUAAAUCUUUUGUUGAGAUUUGUAUCAUUUCUUUAAGAGAUUGAAAAAAUUAUUUUGAGAGAAAUUUUAAAAACGAAACAUUGUAUAGUUAUUGAGUAUUAGAAACUAAAAACCACCGAGAGUAUUUAAAUGACUCAAGUGUGAUUAUAACUUUCAUUAUUUUUUUUUAUCUAUAAUGGAAUCUUGUGCUGCUAUCUUUGUAGACGUAAAUCACACGAUUGAAUCAUAUAAAUCUAGUGUCCGAUUCAUUUGUUGUUUUGUGCAUUUUAUUCAAUUGCUUUUUUUUUUCAAAAGGGAAUAUGGUUUGAAGAAAAGUGAAACCAAAGUAAAAGAUAUUUAAUAUGACCAGCAUUAGGCAUUCAUGAACAAAUGCAUGAAAAAGUAUCUUUUAUUUUCUUAAGAUAUCGAUAAAUAUUUAUAACCUUAAACUUGUGAUUAGUGAUAGAAUUUGUCCCAUCGCCUGCUUAACAUUAACUCUGAUCAUGAGUACGAGAUUCAAUGCAAUCUAUACGACCCGUUUCUUCUAAUGUCCCUUUGACAAUGCAUAGUGAUGUUCUUUUAUUGCCAUUUUCUCCGUUAAAUUGCGCUAGCCCGUGUGUUUCACUUUGACUCCUUCAUUUUCCAUGAUUUUAUAGUCAAAUAUAUUUUAUUUAUUUAGUUUUGAAUGCGAUAUAUCAAGAAAAUCAUAAAUUUGCAACUACAAUCUUGACAUAUUAAGUAUGUAUGUUUUGCAUGAUUUGACAUAGAUUUUCACGACAUUUGUUAGUGAUACAUUUUUUUUUGUUAGCAUGAUUUAACAUAAAUUAUUUUCAUAUUUCAUCUCUUAAAUAAGUUUUUGGUGAGAAAUUGAAAAUCAUUAUGAACAUUAUUCUUCGGAUUUUGAACCGUUGUAGUAGAAGUAGUGAAGAUCAGAUAGAGCCUAGCCGCAAUUUGGUUUGUUUUAUUUAUAUUUGUUUUUCGUGGCGUUAUUAGUUGCUUAGACUUGCUGACUAAAUUGGAGCACUGUACGAAGUCUUCGAGAGGAUGACUUGUCCACAUUUAUUUUAUCUCAUUUAUAACACUAGUAUCUAAAUCAUUCGACUCAAUUAAUACCGAUUUAUGCACGCAAAUCACUCCAUUCACGUGCAUUCGGUUAGCUUCAUUCACAAGAUUGUUAAGGAGACACCGGGGGUAAUGAGUAAAGGACACUGUGAUCAAAUAUGAACUAAACGUCGUUUCAAAAAUAGCAUUCAAAAUACACAUAAUGCAUUCAUGACUGUUUUUACGAACCCAACAUUUCACAAAUUAUGUAUAAAACAAUAAUCCUUCCAAAGAUAUGGCAAUCGGAUCAUAACUAUGGUCAUCUUUGAUGCGCAACUUUCUACAACUCAGCAACACCUUUUGAAAAUGCUAUGAACAUGUACAUCUUAUGCUUUCAAGCCAUUGCCUCAAAUGAUUGGAAUACAUAAAAGACGUUAAUGCUUGCUUUUUAGUAAAUCGGAAGGUCAUGCGAUACCAUAUUACAAGAUCCCCAAAAGAUGCCAACAUGCCAUUCUUUGAAAUCAUGUUUUUACCUUUUAAUUAAUCACGCAUGCUGCAUACAGCUUCAACAAAUCCGAAAGGUUUUAGGCAUGUGAAAAUUGAUGUUAUCGGACGAUUAGCUUUUGGACCUAUUUCUUCAAUAGCUAAAGGUAGUCAAUAUGUGGUAUAGACAAUGCCUUUGAGAGUGUGUGGCUGGAGGAGAGUUGUUAUCGAAGGCAUUUCUACAAAAAAGUUUAGAUGUGUUUAUUUUGAGUGCGCGCCUCAUUGUUCGUCAAAUUUCUGCCAUUCUUUUGUAUUGGACAAUUCAGUAAUAAUAACAUUACAUUCAUUAAUGGAAGCUUUUAUUACAUUCUUAAUGCAAAAAGCUUCUCCACCGUGUCAUCCUCCUUCAGAAAUUUACAGAAGAAGAAUCAAGGCGUUGCAUGAGAAAUGGAGAAAAGAAUGUCUAUUAUGAGAAAUAAACAAAGAAAUUCUUGAUUUGAAUGCCCGAAGUGCGAUGCCACUUUCUUUAGCGAGAGACAUCAUUUUGGACGUUUGUAUCGCGUGACUCAUGCGAUUCAAUUGAAACUUAUGAACGACAACUUCAUAGCAGUUGCAGCUUUCAAUUUAUAGUCAAUAAAGUUGAUGGCUUUAGAAAAAAAUGAAAUGGAGGACAAUAAUGGAGGUGAACCUUUUUACAAGCCCAAUAUCUUUCGAGUUUCUUUGUUAGAGCUAACACUAUCACCUAAAAAAAAGGUGAAUAGGUGAUUAUAAACAAUUAAAGCGGAGUUUAAAACAACCAAGUUCAAUAUCAUGAAAAACAAAAUCUAAUGAAAAACUUUGUAGUGAUUAGAUUUUCUACAACGUCUAAUGAAAAACUACACUAUAAUAAGACUUUACUAUGUGCAAUAAAUAGAAUAAAUGAGUUAUUAAAGAAUAGAGAAAAUCACACACAACAAUUAUAGUGGUUCAACUUAUGAUAAACCUACAUUCACUCUCCCAUGCUACAGCCUAUUAGUUGGAUUUCACUAUGAAGAAUUAAUAAGAGGUUACAAGAUAUGAACUAUAAACACUCAAGUUCAUGCGUAUAACUCCUCACACACUCUCAACUUCUAAAUAAUUAUACAAUGAUACUCAUAGAGACAAAUGUAUUUGACCGCAAAACACUCUUUAGACUUUGGAAUUAUAAGUUUUGAUUCUCUUGUGUUGCGUUUUUCCUUUUAGCUUCGAGACCUCCUUUUAUACUUCUCCCAAACCAAGCUAACCAUUGGACAUAUAUCCAAAAAGAUUAUCUAGCCAAUCUACCUCUUGGCCUGGAUCUCAUUAAGAAUGUUUGAUCACUUUAAGGAUGCCGAGAAUAAAGCUUCUCAUAGAUUCUGCCACUCAUACAGCAGUUUGGGUUUUCAUAAGUCGAGUGCUUCAACUUAGAAAGAAUGUUUCGCCUCAAGUAUAUCGUUCUAGGAAAGACGAGGAAUCCAAUCAGUCGCUGCUAACCUUUAUUGUCUCAUUCUAGCUGUUUGACAGAGUACAUAAGAAAGGAAAUAAUUAAGUCAUGACUCUGGUUUUGAUUGAUAUUGUCUGAUCAUACUUCGUUGGACUUUGCACUUGAAAAAUACUUAUCAUCAGAAUUAAAGUCUUUACGCUAGAUAAGUUUUGUCAAUCUUCAAAAUCAAUUUGGGAGAUUUUCUCAACAAUCUCCACUUUUUUAUGAUGACAAAACUUUCCAAGCAGAACUUUAGAAAAGAUUUUAAAAAGAUUUAGUAAUCAAAUAGCUCUAUUGAAAGCAAUAUUUUAGAUAAGGCACAAUGUGAAUUCUAUAAGAACUUUGCUGAUUUUGUAAAGAUAAGUACAAACUUCUUACAGAAUAUUGAGCUAAUCAGAGUGAAUAAGAUUUGUAAAGAAAUUUCUUGAUUUGUGAAGAAAUUCCUUACUCUGAUUAAGGAAGUUCAAGAUAAGAAUAGAUUCAAGAAAACUUCCUUUUUUUUUUUAUAUAUAUAGCUUCUCCUUAGCAAGAUCACAAAAGAUCUUCAUCUACAUAUAGUGUUAUGCUUUUCUUGCAUUUUCUCUUUCUUUUUGUCAGCAUCACAAAAGAGACAAUAAUAAUGGAAGGAGUAUCACAGAGAGAAUAUGCUAUUCAGCUCAUCUUCACACACAAUCUUCAAAACAUAUUUAGCAUGAAAAUUUUUUUUCAUAAACAUCCUAUAGAUGCUAUGGUGAACAUAAAAUAAUUGCAAUAUAGCUCAUGUUAUUAUAGAAUCAAAUACCAUAUGCAUCAAAUAAAUAUAUGUCAAUGAUAACAUAUGCAAUAUAUAAAUUUCAUAUACAUUUUUUGUCAUAAUAAAACGAUAAUGGAAAUAUGAGAUUUAUAAUGACAAAAGGUAAGUGAAGUAAGAAAAAUACUAACCAGAUCAUGUAGAAUUUAGCAAGUUCUAAUAUACAUUAUAUUUUCUUCCAUAAUCAAGAGGAGGCAAAAAUUAAAUUGACUUAAUCAGGAUUUUCUCACACUUAAUUUACACUCCCUUUCAAUUUAAUGCCUUUAUGAGAUGAUCACGGUUCUUCUCCUUUAUUGUGCAUCCACUUUCUCAUUCUUUAAUAAAUUUAACAAAUUUUGCGCCUAGAGGAGAAUUUUUGCUCCUUCGAAAAUGGUGUGGAAUCUUCGCGAUUUUUCUGAUCAAAUUUUCCAAAAUUUAGAUGGAAAGAUUAUUUGCCACCUGCAAUUUUUUGUAAAAGAGAUAACAAUUUGCAAAAUAUAGACAAUAUCACGUACUUUCCUUCCUUGAAUUCGCGGAUUAAUUUUGCCAGUUAGAAGAUAUGCUUCUAACAUAUAAAAGCACGCAUUAAUUUCUUUCAAGAUUAAAAAGAUUCUAAUGUUUAAAAGAAAAUCUGAUUUUCAAAUGUUUAAAUCAUUUAUAAUUAUUCUAUAGCGAUGGUUAAACAUAUUUAUAUAGAUACAAAUGGAAUUUAUCUAUAUAAAUGCAUAAUAAGAAAAUAGUCCUAUAGAAAAGUUUAAGUUUAAGUGCAUUUAUUUCAAGUGAAAAGUUUAAGUUUAACUGCAUUUAUUUCAAGUGAGAAGUUCGUCAACUUUCAAACUGUUUUUUUGGAUUGGACAUUUUAACAAUAAUAACAUUACAUUCAUUAAUGGGAAGAGCUUUUAUUACAUUCUUAAUGCGAAAAGCUUCUCCACCAUAUCAUCCUCCUUUAGAAAUUUACAAAAGAAGAACAAGCCCAUUACAUUAAAAAACGAGAAAAGGCUGUUUAUUGUAAGAUAUGACGACAAAAUUAUUGAUUUGAACACCCGAAGUCCAAUGCCACUUUCGUUAACGAGAGACAUCAUUUUGGACGUUUAUAUCGCGUGACUCACGACAUUUAAUUGAAAGUGAUGGAUAGGCAACUUCCCAGCAGCUGCGGCUUUUAAUUAAUAGUGAAUGAAGUUGAUGGGUUCAGAAAAAACCAGAUGGAGGACAAUUAUGGAGAUGUACCACUUUUUUCAGUCGGUCGAGAUGUACAAUUAUGGAGAUGUACCAUUUCGCACGCCCAAUAUCUUUCGCCUUUCUUCUCGGUGCCUUUGAACUUUUGAAUAAAAAAAAACUCCAAUUUUCAAAUGUUUAAAUCAUUUAUAAUUAUUCUAUAGCUAUAUCUAUAAUUAAACAUAUUUAUAUAGAUAAAAUCACAAUCUAUAUAAAUGUAUAAUAACAAAAUGUUCCUAAAGAAUAUCUCUCAUUAUGACAUAUGAGACUUUGGACAAUUAGAAGAUUUUCCUUCAAACUAUUGAGAUUGGAUUUGCUACAUUCACCACAAAAAUGCUCCACCUAAGCACUACCUAGCAGUAUGCUUACUACUUACUAUGACGUAUUUGUUUUGAUCUCUUCCCCUUAAUGACUUACUUUUUAUCAUAAUUAAUUACCUUCAACCCCACAAAUAUUGCAAUAUAUGUGCCUUUAUAUUGAAAAGCAAAUCUUUUACAACACUUAUUGUCUUAUUGAAAACUAUUAGAAUGCGAGCAUGAUAUAAUUAGUGUGGUUUGGACAUCAGCCAAACCUAAUUAUAUAAACAUUGAAAUAUAUCUCAAGUCGGAGCCGGAUUAAACCGGAUCGAAAGACUUUGACACUCGACCUAUAGUCAAGAGUGGUGAGCGGGAAAUGCAUGGUGCCAUCCCAUCAUGGUGUUGCUUUGAGCGUCGAAAGAAAGAGAGACCGCCCUGGUCUUGACCAUAAGAGACGACUUUGCUCAGCUGAAGAGGAAAAGAGAGAAUGAUGAUGGCCACCGCUGACACGAGACAAAAGGGGAAGGAAACGACGAAGAAAGUUGCAAUAAUGGCGUCAUUUAACGGUGGCCGCUCAUUGUUUCCUUUCUUCUUUAUUUGCUUCUUGUGAAUUUUCUCUGUGAAUACGAAGAGGAAGAGCUCUUAAUGAGAGCUCCAAGGACUGCACAACGAGAUUAAAAAUUUCCUCUUAAAAGUUUUGAUUCAAAAAGUUUUUCUUUAUGAAAUUACACAAAAUGAAGUCAAUUAAAUCUUGUGUUAACGUUUAGGUCAAUCUUUUUAUGUGAAUGAAAUAUUAUUUUGAGAGAAAUUAUGAGGGUUAAACACAGAGUUCUUAGUCAUAUUUGAGGGAUAAAAAUACAAAUAAUAUUUGAGUAACUCAAGUAUUAUUAUAAUUUUCCAUUGCAUUGUAAUUUCAUGGUUUUCAUUUCCUCGUGGACGUAGGUCACAUAACCGAACCACGCAAAUUUAGUGUUUGAUUCAUUUCCUUGUUUUACAUUUUUAUUCAAGCACUUGUUUUAUUUCCAACAAUAAAUAUGGUUUGAAGAAAAGUGAAACCAAAUUAAACCGUAUUAUAGUCAAGAUCAAACCAAGCCAAACCAUUUUAUGUGGCUUGAUUCGGCUUAAUCAUUCUUUCUGCUUUUAUUUUACCUCUUCAUCACAUGUAAUUUCAUGACUAAAAAAAAAACAAAUUCUAUGCCACAACCCUUCCGAGGCGAGAUCCCUGAGGAAGUUACCGAAUUACCAAGUAAGCAUGAAUGGUCCCUUUUGCAAGGUGACGCUUGCUCUUGGCAGGAUCAAUCUCAACUUGGUUUUCAUUAAUUAUUUCAUUUGCUCAAGAGUCGCCAUUAAUUUUUUAUAAACCGAUUAGGAGUCAAGUAAAACACAAGAGCCUAUUUUACUUCUACAAACCAGAGAUUUGUGGGUCUAACGACUUGAUUAGGCUGGAUAUGUAAUGUGCAAUUAUUCAUGCGAUCUUCCAAUCUUAGUUACCCAUUUUGUUCUCAAUAUCGAGGGAAGAAGGCGAUCAUGCAUGAAAUCACUCAAGCAAACACAAAUAAAAUCCAAUAAUACUGAAACAAAUAGAGCAAAUAAAAGGUACGAAAAUAAAGAAAUUGAGCCGUAUUGCAAAAAAAAAAAAAAAUUAAUACAAAGCUUUGUUCUUAAGUUUCAAGAUAGGACCCCUUGAGCUAUAAAUAGAAACUCGAUGUUAGAUCUCCAACUAUGGCUCCAAACCGGAAAGUCAAUAAAUGAUACUUCAUGAAUAUCCACUAUAUAAACUACUUUCCUAAAAUGAACAAUUACUUCAAAAACGUAAAAUCUACUCAAUGCAAUGUUAAGAAAACAAAAUUUAUUUAUGAAUAUGCAUUAUUGGUAAAAUACACUCCUAGAUGUUUUUUUUUUAAAAUUUUAUUUUAUGAAUAUGCAGUUUAUCUUUCCAUUUGUUUUUUUUUUCUUUUUUGCAUUUCCCCCUUCUUUAUAUAUACACGCACACAUAUAUAAGUGAAACAAAAUUUGAUUACGUGUUGAAAUAAAUAUGAACUAGAAUCUAUAUGCCAAAAUAAUAUGUAAUAUAAAUCCGGAUUUUCAUGAAAAUUUGCACUACGUUCACUUGGAAUUUUUUUUCUUUGGAAACGCUCAAUUGGAAUUUCAACCUUAAAAUUGCAUCAAGAACGACUUAGUGCACACGAGAAAAUAAAGAAAACUAAAGUGACAUAAUGCUAUGAAUUAGAGCCAAACUAAUCCACACUAUGCGAAAAUCAACGGUGGAUGAAUAAAUCUAUACGAAUAACCAAUUUUCUCUCUACCGCUUUUUUUAGGGCGCAGUUUAGCUAACCGUCCUCUGUCAAAUGAUGGAGUGACAGUCAACUAAUGACCACACAAUUCGCAUGGAUUCCAUCUUUUACCCUUUUUUUUUUUUUUAAUUUUAUGUUUUCUUAUUGCAAGCUUAAAUUGAGAGAUAAAAUCAUAAGAGGGCCCAUACAAUCAAUUUUCAUGAAUAUUAUGAAAGAAAAAAUAAAUUAGAUACCGAAAUAUAAAUAAUUAGAAGUAAAAAAUAUUGUCAUCCACUACAAAGAAAUCGUUCAUUUCAUUAUGUAGAUCUAUUAAAUUUAAAAGAUGAAAAAACACUUGAAUUGUUGGCUUUGCAACUAAUAACAAAAUUAUUGUGCAAUGAAUUGGCUUCUCAAUCAUGUCACCAAAAUCAAAUUGCUUUGGAAGGACUCUCCGAUGACCUAAAAUUAAGACGAGUAAUGUUAAUUACGCAUAAAACAAAUGAAGUAAAGAAAAAGAACAAAAUAAGAAUAAUGAAUUAGUAGAGAAGAAAAUUUACCCCAUUGAUCUCGUAGAUGAAGAUGAUUUGGGACCUAAAAUAUUACAAAAUCAAUCUUAGGAUCACACGAGUGAAAAGUAAGCCGAAAUGAUUUUUGAUCAAUUUUUAUAAAUAUUUUACCUAAUAUAGCUUCAAUGUUUGGUUCGUUGAGAAGAUUCACAUAACCAUGAGAUAUGACCAUAUAUCAUUUUAUAUAGAUAAAAAGUCAAUUUAUAGGAAGGUAUUUUAAAUAAAAUAAUAAUAAUACGUAUUAGCAACUAUUGAAAACCCUCAAUUCUUUCCUGAUUGCAAAUCAAAUUUCAAGAAUAGUUACGGUAACUCAUAUCAUCCAAAUUACCAAUUAUAUUUUGGUAUCUAAUUUAUUUUUUCUUUUAUCAUAUUCAUGAAAAUUGAUUGCGUGGGUCCUCUUAUGAUUUUAUCUCCUAAUUUAAGCUUACAAUAACGAAACAUAAAAAAAAGGGGUAAAAGAUGGAUUUCAACCGGUUUCCAUCCAAAAUGUGUGGUUCUCAACUGACCGUCACUCCAUCAUUUGAAGGAGUGAUGGUCAGCUAAGCCUUUUCCACAUUUUAACGAGGGGCAUGCCUACAUAAAAGUUAAGUGCGUCUUCAUUGCUCAACCCAACCCACCAAUUCUGAGAAAAGUCACACAUUUGCAUGUGGACAAACCAUUUACGUAUAUCAAAGCCCAAAUCUUUCUCAUUUAUUUCGAAUUCAUUUGCAUUGCACAUUGUAGAAACAAUAACAUCACAUUCAUUAAUAUGAAGAAUUUUAUUACAUUCAUAUUGUGAAAAGUUUCUCCACCAGAUCAUCUUCCUUUAGAAAUUUAUAAAAGAAGAACAAGUUCGUUUCAUUAGAAAAGAAGAAGAGGAUGUUUAUUGUAAGUUAUAUAUGAUGCAAUUCUUGAUGUGAACACCUGAAUUUAAAUGCCACUUUUGUUUGUAAGAGAUAUCAUUCUGGACGCUUCUACCCCAUGACUAACCUGAUUUAAUUAACAAUUAUGGACAGCUAACUUCACAGCAGCUGCAGCUUUCAAUUUAUAGUAAAUUAAAGUUGAUGGCUUCAGAAAAAGUGAGAUGGAAGACAAUUAUGGAGGUGUACCUUUUACACGCCCAAAUUCUUUCGAGUUUCUUCUUGGUGCUUCUGAACUUUUGAAUAAAAAAAAAUCCGAUUUUCACACGUUUAAAUCAUUUAUAAUUAUUCUAUAGCUAUAUCUAUGGUUAAAUACAUUUAGAUAAAAUCACAAUUUAUCUAUAUAAAUGCAUAAUCAUAAGUUUAAGUCUGUCUGCGGCGCUCAACACACCAAUUCAUAAUCCUUGCAUGGAUACUUUCGUCCCCUGAUGUUCGAAACGCUCUUCUUUUUUCUCCCUUGUGGUAAAAAGAAUCCUAGUACCAAGAUACAAAGACUUCACUCCGAUUAGUUUUUGGAUAUGGUUGCCCUCAUUGACAUCAUCCAAGACAAUUAGCAUUCAUCAAUGUUAUCAAUUUCAUUAGUCACUCUAGAAUAAGAGAUAUUCGACAGUAAUUUUUCUUGUAGUUGGACAACGCCCUUUGUUUUUGGCGUUACCCUCACGUCAUCAAGAAAGUUGCAGUUUUUCCAAAAGCGAGGAUAUAGCUGGUUGAAGAUAUCCUUGGCGGGUUCUGAUCUAUCGAUGCUGCCCACCCUGUAGAUUCCAGUGAAUUGCACAAUACCAAAACUAAUGUCUUAUACAGUGUUUAUGGCUGCUAUUCAAUCCUCCGUUCUAACUAAAUCUUCGAUCACUUGUCUUUGUCUUGCAUUGAGCCUAACCACAAUCUCAUUUACAAUCGACUUGAUAAGAUUCCCAUGGCUGCCACAAAGUCAGUCAAUUUCAAAUGAGAAAAGGAGACAAAUUUGCACGUGGACAAAGCCUUUACAUAUAUCGAAGCCCGAAUCUACCUCAAUUGAUUUCAAAUGCGCAGCUCAUGUUUGCCAAAUUUCAGUCAUUCUUUUGCAUUGCACAUUUUAGAAACAAAAACAUUACGUUCAUUAAUGGGAAGAGUUUUAUUACAUUCUUAAUGUGAAAAUCUUCUCCACAAGAUCAUCCUCCUUCAAAAAUUUACAAAAGAAGAACAAAUGUGCGUCGUUAGAAAAGGAGAAAAGGACCCACGAAGAAAUUCUUGAUUUGAAUUCCCAAAGCUCGAUGCCAGUUUCGUUAGUGCGGGACAUCAUUUUGGACACUUGUAUCGCGUGACUCACGGGAUUUAAUUGAAAAUUAUGGAUAGACAACUUCACAAUAGCUGCAACUUUUAAUUUAUAGUCAAUAAAGUCGAUGGCUUUCGGGAAAAUGAAAUAGAGGACAAUUAUGAAGGCGUAUCUUUCACCGGACCAAUUUCUUUUGAGUUUCUUCUCGGUGCCUUUGAACUUUUGAAUUAAAUAAAAAUCUGAUUUUCAAACGUUUAAAUCAUUUAUAAUUAUUCUAUAGCUAUUACUAUGGUUAAACAUGUUUAUAUAGAUAAAAUCACAAUUUAUCUAUAUAAAUGCAUAAUAAAAAAUUCUAAAGAAUCCCUUUCAUCAUGACACAUGGAAUUAUGGAUAAUUAGAAGAUAUUUCUUCGUAUCAUUGAGAUUGGAUUCGCUGCAUUCACUAUAAAAAAGUGCUCCACCUAAGCAUAUAUUUACUAUGAAAUAUUUGUUUGAUCUCUUUGCCUUAAAGACAUACCUUUUAUAAUUAUUAAUUACUUUUAACCACUCAAAUAUUGUCAUAAACGUGCUUUUAAAUAUUAAAAAGCAAAUCUUUUACAACACUAAUUUCCUUAUUGAGAACUAUUAGAACGUGGGCAUGGUGUAGUUAGUGCUAUCAGCCAAACCAAAUUAUAUAAAUGUGGAAAUAUAUCUCCAGCCGGAACCUGAUCAAGUUAAGAUCGGACGAGAAUUAUAGAGGCUUGACCUCUAUUCAAGAGUGGUGAGAGGAAAUGCAAUGAGGGCCCGUCCAUAGCAAUGAUACCAUCCCAUCGUGUCGUUGCUUGGAGCGUGGAAAGAAAGGGAGAGUAUGAUGGUCUGGACCACGAGGGACGACUUUGCUCAGCUAAACAAAGGGAAAAGAGAGAUUGAUGAUGGGACAAAAGGGUAAGGAAAAACGACGAAGAAAGUUGCAAUAAUGGUGUCUUUUAACAAUGGCCACUCAUUGUUUCCUUUCUUCUUUAUUUGCUUAUAGUCUUUAAAUUCGAAGAGAUGAGAGCUCCGAGGACUGCACAGAGGAGACUGAAAAUUUCCUCUUAAGGGUAUGAUUUAGAAAGGUUUUCUUCGUGAAAUUACAGAAAAUGAAGCCGAUUAAAUCUUGUCUUAAUUUUUUAUAUCAUUCUCUUAUGAAAUUGAUAAAUUAUUUCGAGAGAAGCUGUGAGGGUUAAAGACAGAGUUAUUAGUUGUAUUUGAGGAUGAAAAACACCAAGAAUAUCUAAGUGCUUCGAAUAUGACCUUAAUAUCCAUUACUUUGUUUUAUCUAUAAAGGAAAUGUAUACUGAUUUUCCCGUGGACGUCCGAUUCAUUUCCUUAUUUUGCGCAUUUUUUUUAUCCUUUGUUUUAUUUUCAAUAAUAAAUGUGGUUUUACAAAAAUAGAAAAAAAACCAAACCAUAUUUUAGUCAAACCAUUUUCUGCGGCUUGAUCCGGCUUAAUUGUUGUUUCUUCUUUCAAUUUAUCUCUUCAUCAUUUGAAAUUUCAUGAGAAGAAACCAAAUUCUAUGUUGAGACCCUUCCGAGGUGAGAUCCCCAAGGAAGUUGUCGGAUGGCCAAGCAAGUGCAAAUGGUCCCUGUUGCAAGGCGACGCUUGCUCUUGGCAUGAUAGGUCUCAACUUGGUUAUUUGAUUAAGAGUCACAACUAAUUUUUUGAAGCAAAUAGGAGUUAAGUAGAACGCGGGAGCCGCCUUACUUCUACAAAUCGGAGAUUUGUGAGUCUAAAGACUUGAUUAGGCUGGAUAUAUCUAAAGCCCAAUUUGGUACUUUUUUUUUUCUCUUUUUAAAAAAACAAUUAUUCAUGCAGUCUUUCCAAUUUUAGUUACCAUUUUUAUUCUCAAUGUUGAGCAAGGCAAGUGAUCUCGCAUAAAUUCACUCAAGCAAACACAUAUAAAUCCAACAAUACCGAAACAAAUCUAGCAAUAAAAGGUACGAAAAUAAAGAACCCGAGCUGAGAAAAAAAUCAAUACAAAGCCUUGUUAUUAAGUUCCGGAAUAGGACCCCUUAAGCUAUAAAUAGACACUCAUUGUAAAAUAUAAAUAUGGCCCAAAAAUGGAAAGUAAUAAAUGAUACUUCCUGAAUAUAACUAGAUAAACUACUUUCCUAAAUGAACUAUGCAUCUAGAAGUAAAACCUACUUAAUGCAAUCUAAAGCGCNNNNNNNNNNNNNNNNNNNNNNNNNNNNNNNNNNNNNNNNNNNNNNNNNNNNNNNNNNNNNNNNNNNNNNNNNNNNNNNNNNNNNNNNNNNNNNNNNNNNUUAUGAAUAUACAUGAUUUCUAAAAUACAUUGCCAGAUAUAUAUAUUUUAAUGAAAAUGCAGUUCAUCUUUUUCUUUUCUUUUCCCCUUCUUUAUAUAUAUUAUAGUGAACCGAAAUUAAACAAAAAAUUUACUAAGCGCUGAAAUAAAUUUGAACUAGAAUCUGUAUGCAAAAAUAAUAUGUAAUAUAAACCCGGAUUUUCAUGAAAAUUUGCACUACGUUCACUUGGAAUUUUUUUUUUUUUUGGGUCUAAACGUUCACUUGGAAUUUUAACCUUAAAAUUCUUCCAAGAACGAGUCAUUGCACACCAGAAAUAAUGAAAACUAAAGUGACAUAAUGCUAUGAAUUACAUCGAAACUGAUCCACACUAUGCGAAAAUCAAUCGUGGAUGAAUACAUCUAUACAAAUUCCCCAUUUUCUCUCUUCCGCUUUUUACAUUUAACUGAAGGCAUGCCUGCAAAAAAAUUAAGUCAUCCUUGAAUUUAUACUUAAGUCCCCUGAAAUUUGAAACACUCUUAUCCUUGCUGGCAACAAGUAUUCUAGUACCAUAAUACAAAAAAAAAUUCACUCUGAUUAGUUUUUGAAUAUGGUUGCCCACAUCGACAUCAUCCAUUAUGAUUAGCAUUAUCAAUGCUAUCGAUGUCACAAGUCACCCUAGAGUAAGAGAUAUUGGACAAUAAUUUUUCUUGUAGCUAGACUAAGCCCUUAGUUUUUGACGUUUCCCUCGUGUCAUCAAAAAGCAAGCGAGGAUAUAGCUUGUCAAAGAUAACCCUGGGGGGUGCUGUUUUACUAAUGCUGCCUAUCCCCUAGAUUCGAAUGACUGCACGUUACCAUAACCGGUGUCUAAUAAAUUGUUUGUGGCUGCUAUUGGAUCCUCCAUUUCAACAAAAUGUUUGAUCACUUGUCUUUGUCUUGUCUCGAGCCUAACCACAACCUCAUUAACAACUGACUUGAUAAGAUUCCCAUAGGUGCCACAAAGUUAGAUGGUUUCAAUUAAGAAAAUGUAACAAAUUUGCAUGUUGACAAACCAUUUACAUAUAUUAGAGCUCAAAUUUGCCUCGAUUCAUUUUGAAAGCGCAACUAUUGUUUGUCAAAAUUUAGCCAUUCUUUUGGAUUACAUGUUUUAGAAACAAUAACAUUACAUUCAUCAAUGGGAAGAGUUUUAUUACAUUCUUAAUGUGAAGAGCUUCCCCACAAGAUUAUCCUCCUUCAGAAAUUUACAAAAGAAGAACAAGUGCGUUUCAAUUAGAAAAGGAGGAAAUAAUACACGAUGAAAUUCUUCAUUUGAACACUCAAAGCCAUAUGCCACCUUCAUUAGUGAGAGACAUCAUUUUGGACGAUUGGAUUGGGUGACUAACGGGAUUUAAUUGAAAGUUAUAGACAUGCAAUUUCAUAGUAGCUGCAGAUUUUAAUUUAUAGUCAAUAAAGUUGAUGGCUUUAGAAAAAAUGAGAUGGAGGACACUUAUGAAGGUGUAGCUUUAGAGGCCCAAUUUCUUUCGAAUUUCUUCUUGGUGCCUUUGGACUAUUGAAUAAAUAAAAGUCUGAUUUUCAAACGUUUAAAUCAUUUACAAUUAUUCUAUAGCUAUAUCUAUGGUUAAACAUAUUUAUAUAGAUAAACUCAUAAUUUAUCAAUAUAAAUGCAUGAUGACAAAAUAUUCCUAAAGAGUCCCUCUCAUUAUGACACAUCGGACUAUGGAUAAUUAAAGGAUUUUUCUUCAUAUUAUUGAGAUUGGAUUUGCUGCAUUCACCACCCAAAAAAGAGAGAGGAAAUGCCACUAAAAACCCCAAACUUCGCCCAAGUGACAAAUUUACCCUAAACUUUUUUUGUGACAUGAAAAACCCUAAAUUUUGCAAACCGUGACACAUUUACCCCCCACCAAGGGCAUUUUCAUUUUUUUUUCCCUUCUUCUUCUUCUCCUCUCUUCCCUCGGCCGGCCAUGGCGAAAGCCAAUGGAGGGAAGCCGGAGUCAGGCAAGGGACGCCCUCGCUGACGUUGAGCGAGGGUGGCCCUCAGCUGGGUUAGGCAAGGGCCUCCUUCCCUAGAUCUGGCAAGGGUGGCCCUCAUUUGCGUUUGGUGAGGACGGCCUUCACCCGACGCCGACAAGGGCUUGGCAAGGGAGGCUCUUGCCGGACCCAAUUGAGGGCUGCCCUCACCUAAUGUUGGCGAGAGCAGCCCUAGCCAGCCCAGGUGAGGGCAGCCCUCGCCUGACUCUGGCUUCCCUCCACCAUGGCUGGUGGAGGGAAGAGAGAAGAAGAAGAAAAAAAGAAAAAAAAGUAACAUACCAACAUGCCCUAUAGUUUAUGGUAAAUGUGUUACACGAAAAUAUAAGUUCAGGGUCUUUUGUAUAAUGAAAAAAAAUUUGGGAUUAAUGUGUCACGGUUGGCAAAGUUCAUGAUUUUUCAUGUCACAAAAAAAAGUUUGGGGUAAAUUUGUCACUUUGGGCAAAGUUUGAGGUUUUUUUUUUAUGGUGUUUCCUAAAAAAAAAAAAAAAAAAACUCCACCUAAGCUUAUUCUUACUACUCACUAUGAAAUAUUUGUUUGAUCUCUUUGCCUUAAAGAUGUGCCAUUUAUCAUAAUUAAUGAUCUUUAACUGCUCAAAUAUUAUCGUAAACGAGCUUUUAUAUUUAAAAAACAAAUCUUUUAUAACACUUAUUUCCUUAUUGAGAACUAUUAGAAUGUGAACGUGGUGUAGUCAGGGCCAUCAGCCAAAUCAAUUACGUAAAUGUGGAGAUAUUUCUCGAGCCAGAGCCUGAUCAAAUCAGAUCGGAGGAGAAUUAUGGUCGCUCGACCUCUAUUCAAGAGUGGUGAGAGGAAAUGCGAUGAAGGCCUGUCCAUAGCAAUGAUGCCAUCCCAUCAUGGUGUUGCUUUGAGAGUGGAAAGAAAGGGAGACCAUGAUGGUCUCGACCAUGAGAGACAGCUUUGCUCAGCUGAAGAAAGGGGGAAGAGAAAUUGAUGAUGGAACAAAAGGGCAAGGAAAGCGACGAAGAAAGUUGAAAUAAUGGUGUCUUUUAAUGAUGGCCACUCAUUGUUUCCUUUCUUCUUCUUUAUUUGGCUCUAGUAAAUUCUGUCUGAAUUCGAAAAGAGGAGCGCUCCGAGGACUGCUCAGAGGAGAUUGAAGAUUUCCUCUUAAAGGGUUUGAUUCAGAAAGGUUUUCUUCGUCAAAUUACACAAAAUGAAGCCAAUUAAAUCUUGUCUUAAUAUUGUAUGAGAUUGAGAAAUUAUUUCGAAAGAAAUUAUGAGGGUUAAAGACAGAGUUAUUAAUUAUAUUUAAGAAAUGAAAAAUUACCAAGAGCAUAUAAGUGACAUUAAAAAAAGAGAAAAGGAUACACGAAGAAGUUCUUGAUUUGAAUGCCCGAAGCCCGAUGCCACUUUUGUUAGUGCGAGACAUCAUUUUGGACGUUUGGAUCGCGUGACUCAUGGGAUUUAAUUGAAAGUUACGUAUAGGUAACUUCACAUUACCGGGAAAAUGAUGGCUCGGAAAUGGGAGGCUCGCCUUCGGCCGCCUGUGGCUUUCUCAACAGUGUUGCGUCGAUUUCCAACGACUUUGAAGAGAUUGGAGAUGGCCGGAAAUUCUUCUGUGUCUUUUUUUUUUCUCUCAUUUUUUAAGUCUGUCAUAUUUCGGGCCAAACCCAGCCCAAAACUAAAUUGAUGCCUAUCCAAGAGGACUUGUUUAGGCCCCAACCCUUCAACCGGGCCUGAAGUUGAUCGGGCGGGGCGUAUUUUUCAAUAAAAAAGCCACCCAUUUGCAACUAUACUUCCGAUUACUAGACGCCAAAGGAACUCACGAACUCAUUGCUACACCAUUCUUUAUCUGCCGUAGACAAACAAGCAUUCCUAUUCUGUAACAUAGAAAUGGCAACAAUUUAUUGCUUAUGCCCAUUCAUGAUGAAUACUUUCCCCAAAAUUCAAUCAACUAAUAUUAAAUUAACCCCAAUAACAACUAAUCACAAUAUUCCAGCAAUAUUAACCCUAAAGCAGUAAAGAUAGUGCUGAAUAUUAAAGCAAGGGAAAACCAACACCUGUAAAAUUUUACGUGAAAAACACAAUGCAGAAAACAUCACGAGACCAGUAAAAAUCUUCCGCUAAUCACCAAAAAUAGCAUAAUACAUAAUAGUUCAUCUCAAAGAACACAGUUAGAGGCUCUUUCACCUAAACAAAAUAUUAUCACCACAAAAGUGGAUUAACAUAAAGAAGUAAGAAAGAUCUAACCGCUACCAGACAAAAUCAGGAGACAACUUGGAGAAGAUUUUAACAAACACAACCGAUCAACUUGUAGAUCAUGGACUCACAAACAGCAUAUGAAAUUUUGGCCAAUUCCGACAAAGUUUCACUAUUGAAUUUAGACUACCUCUUCUCUUCUUCAAAGCAAAGCUCUUUCCCUCUUUUUCUCUAUAACAACGAAUUGUUCAUCCCUCUCUUCUAAAUCAAGAACAUUCAGCCCUAUCAAUUCUUUUUCUUUUUUAUUUUAUUUAACAUGAUGAGAUGAGCCCCACAAGAGGUGGACCCAACCCAACAAACAUCCUCUUCACCUUAUGAAGAAGUUUCAUUAUGCCAGCAUUAUCAAUACAGGAAGCAAGUUUCACCAUUGGCAAGGUUUUACUCAUCAUAUUGGAUCCAUUAUCAUUAGUGUAGACUUUCUCAAGUAAGAAAAGUUUAUCAUCUAAUUUAUCUCGGAUCCAAUGACAAGGAUAAAGCAUUAGUCUGGAUAAAGCAACCAGAUGCAAUUCUAGUGAACAUCACUCUAUCUUCAGCAAUAUGACAUGGAUAAAGUCGCGACAUAAAGCAUCCCGCAUAAUGCUGUCUUGUAUUUGCACGAAUAGAUUUGAUCUUGUCGGGGGCAAGACUGCUCAUCUCUAACUAAUAACAGCAGCUACCAAAGAGUUUAUAUAUCUAGAGCAGUAUCAUGAUUCACUCUCUAAGGACAAACACCCUCUAGAAAUGGAGAGAUCAGUUUCCUAUAUCUUCUUUAGUUUGCUUGCAAACCAUAAAUGGUGGAAGUUGAGAUCCAUGGAGUAACCUGACAAGCCAAAGUUUCAAGCCACUAAAACAUGUGUGUUUACUGUAGUGUCUCUUUUAUUACGUAACCUUUUGUUUUGAUAGGGCAUUUUUUCAAAACAUACCAAAACCGACAUCAAAGGCACUUUUAGAGCAAUAAUAUCAGAUUAUAUUAGUGUUGUGUUUAUCCUAGACUAUGUUGGUACACAGCUUCGGGGAAAUUGAAUGAAAUAUCGACCGACUAAAUUAAAGUUCAAUGCAACCAAAUGCUAGGCUCUUAAGAAAUACUCCCCAGUAGAGAGACUUGUCGAUUAAGAAAUUUAGCUGAAGCUCUCUCCAUUUUACUUUUACACUAACGGCAGGCUGACCAAUAAUAUAAAGUUUCAUUCAAUCAUAUUAUGUUAAAUAUUAUCUCCUUAUAACCAAAUGCAGCCAGUCAAAGUCAAGUGAAGAAUUCAAUAAUAAUUAUGCUUCAUUUGUUUCACGAAAAAUAAAUGAUUUGGAAAAUAAUUUCUAAAAAAAUGAUACAUUGUAUUUCUUGAAAUAAUUAGUCAAUAAAUAAUGUUUUCAUUAUUAAUAAUAAUCUUAUAUCUAAAAAUUUUGGUGAAUGAUAAAGAAAAUAUUCUAUCAUUUAUUUUUAUAAGCGAUACAAGUAAUUGUAAGUGAUAUAAAUAAUAUUUUUUGAUAUUUUAAAUUAUUCAUUCUUGUGAAACAACAAGAUAACGAAAUAAUAUUUAGCCAAAGAAAAUGGGUAAUUGGGCCCAGUUUUCGUUGGCCCAAAAAUUCUCUUGGGCUAAAUGAAACCUUCGUCCCUCACGCUGACGAAAGAAAUUCUCAUCUUUCAGUCGACUUGAAGAGCAUUUUUGGUUCUAAAUCGAGCUCAAACCUUCGUUUCCGCUACUCAUCUUCGUUUUCAUCUAAGGUCUUCGGGGAGCUUCUGUGAGCGUUUUUCACUACUAAUCGUUACACCGCCGCUUUUGUUCUUCAAUUUGAUAUCUAUUUUGCUUUUUUAAGCCAGUUUUCGUUGAUGUCGCGACUGUUUCUUGCUGAUUGGAUCGUCUUCGACCUGGGGCUGGAUGGUUUCUCGCUCGGGUGGCAAGAAAAUGUCGGAGAUCUCUUGUGGUGAUCGAGAUAGAUAGUAGUGUAAGAAGGUGAGAUGAAGAUUUAAGAAAUGUUGUGCCGUAGGUUUGUUCCAGCCGUAAUUGCGAAUGGGUGUCCGUGGAAUUACUUCCGUUGGACGUGCUUGUUUGUCUGUCUAAAUGGCGUGCUUUCUUUGAACUGGUGAUUAUUUUGUGCUUGAGUCAGAAAUUGGGAAUGCGAGCAAUUUGAGCAUGGACUCAUCUUCUCCAAUUGGGAAAAGAGAUGUCCCUAGUUCCCUUUCUUCCAUAUUAUUGUACAUGUGAUUGUUCCAAACAAAGUCUAACACAAUCUGUUGUUAAAUUUAUAGGAUCGUUACGAUCCUUGAUGACCUCACGAAAUUUUGUGAUGGGACAUGCUUAAGAUUUGAUUCCGUGUUCAUUGAUAUGUGGUGUCUUACUGGAAGAUGGGCGAGCUCGCUGGCGAUGAACAUCUCAAGUACAUACUGUGUUGAAAAGGUAGGUAUGAAAUUUUUACUACUCUCUUCUUGUUCUCUUGUCCACUUUCUGCCAGUUACUGAAAAUGACUUGGUUUAUCUGGAUCUGCUACUAUUCAGCAUUUUGGAGUUUACUAAUUUGAGUUUCUGGGUUUGAUCUUGCACUCAGAAAAAGGAUAGUUUUGAGUCAUUGAUUAUGGAGCACUUGAGCUUGAAUGGAGCAUUUUGGGGAUAGAACACUCUAGAUCUUCUUGGAAAACUUGGCACUGUGGAUUCAAAUGAAGUUGUUUCUUGGAUCCUGUAAUGCCAGCAUCUGUCUGGUUCGUAUUUUUUUGUCUCUCGGCUUCUUUUUUGGGAUUACCCACCAAAAACAUGUGGCUGACGGAACCUCCACUCCACAUUCAGUCAAGUUUUUCUUAUUUGACAGUAUGCUUAAGAUAUUAGCUUGGGAUUGACAAGUUCCAUCUAUUACAUUGAUGACCACAUCUUAGGAGGGAUUAGUGUUGCUUUAUUUAUUUAUAUUCUAAAACUUGACUCUAAAGAGCAAAGUGCAAAUGACACUUAGGGCCUGCUUGUGCAGGUGGCUUUGGUGCCAAAUAUUGGACAUGAUCCGCAUCUGCUGUAUGCACUCAGAGCCGUGCAAGUACUGGCCCUUUAUGACAAAUUAGAUGUUUUUGACAUCAAUAAUGUGACAGAUUGUAUCCUUUGGAAUAAAGUGUCUUAGAUUCGCAACUUCCUUGAUGAUCUUACCUUAGGCUCUGUUUUGCAUGUAAAAGGUCAGAUUAUGUUAUGGAAUUUUAUAGUGUGUAUAUUGCUAGCCAGACAUUGAUGGAGAUUGAAGUUGCUACUGUUGGAUUAUCUCUGGUAUCAAAUGUUCUACAUUGUUGUGCCUGAACGAAGAUGAAUCUUUUUCUGGGGAUAUAUGCGGAGAAGUUGAUGCUCGGUGUACUGUCCUCAUCUUUGAUCAAUUAUUAUUUUUGUGCUUCUUGAGGAUGUUUCUUAAAUAAUUGACAUCCCUUCACCCCUUUCUUCCCUUCGAAGGUUCUCUCAAUGUGCUAUAUGCUGUCUUGCAAUACUUAAACGGUUGGAUUCGAUAAAUGUGGAGAAUGCUGUCAGAUAUAUAGUGAGUUGCAAAACUUUGGAUGGCGGGUUUGGUUGCAUUCCUGGUGCAGGGUCUCACCUGAAAUGAUAUCAUUGCACGCAGCCUUCGCUUCCAUCUUGAUGGUAUAAUCAUGGCGUAAACCACUGAUGUCUAUCUAAGAUAUCCCAAGACAACGCACUAAUGUCCUUGCUCUCUCAACUAAUCUAGCUGGUAGUAGUUAACAGUUGGAGAAAACCAUCUGGUCUAGCUAUAUCUACAGGGAACUAUUCGUUGCCAAAAUGCCAACUAAAAUGCCAGAAUCUCACCAUACUAUCACAAAAGGUAAAGAAACUUCAGAGUUGCCUAAGUUAUUAUUAAGCUACGAUCUUCACAAGACAAUGAUCUCCUUAGGAUUGGUAAGAUUAUAGUCUCAUAUAAGUUGAAUACAGUUUAAUAUUGGUGACAGUGUAUUUCGAGAAUGUAAACUCGACUGUAAGGCAUACUUAUUGAAUUUCAUAAAUCAUCUGUUUCGAAUAAUUUUUCUUUGCAAUUCCUAGGAUCCUAUAAUGUGCGGUUCAAGAAGUCUAUAUUCGGGACACAGCAGGUCCACAAUUGAUGGCAAGUUUUCCAAUCUGAAUAACCUUAGGACUUAGUAAAGUAGUAAUUAGGAGAUUAACAAAACCGCUUAAAUCCUCGAAUGCUUUGCUAACUGAGCAAGUAAACACACUUCAAACGUGUAAAACCCGCAAUGAGCAACGAUCGCAAAAUGCAUUCUCAUAAGCAGCCACGGAGGGCCCCAGUGAAUUGCAGUUCUCUCCUCUCCUAGCUAAGCAAUAACGGAAGUUCCUCCAGUCCACUGUCCUACCCUUGAAGAGCAAAUCUAGCAACCCAACCAAAUCUAGCAAGUAUGUCAUAACCUCAUGCUGAGCUCUUUCACGGGUUUCUAAUAUCUGAUUGGUGCAUAGUAAGUCGUGUAUUUGCUUAAAUACAUAGUGGUCUUCUAAUUAUGCUCCAAUGAACACAUCCAAAAGAUAAAACCGAGUCGCCACAGUUUUAAGACAUUCUUUAGGACUCAUCUUAGAAGAGAGAAAGUACAAAGGAAUUGAUGAUUUCCACUGGAGAAUUAGGCAUAAAACAAUGAAGGACCAAGCAAGAAAAUUAAGAAGCACAAGAGCCUGACCAAGCACCUUGCUACUAAGUGGCUCACUUUUCUCUCUUCUUUCAAUUCAAAUAAGAAAAUAUUUGCAAAACAGAGAACUGGAACGUGGGAGUAAUCAUGAAGCGAUAAGAUUUGGUGUUUCUACUUCAACGGAUAACAAAACCUGUGUGUAUUUUGUGUAGCCAAUUGUCGAGUCGAUCACGUAGUAAAUUUGACCUGUGGAAUCCUCAACCAUAAGCAGCAGACCUCAAAUUAGCAAUGGAAACCAAAACUGCCCAAAACAUGAAAGAAAAAAAAAAAAAACCGGACAUCCCAUUUUAAUUCUACAUGAUGAACCAAGAAGAGAAGCACUAGUUACUUCUUUUUCAAUCAUCAAGAGCUCCUCACAGGUAAUAGACAGCUCCUCACAUGUAAUAAAGAGACUGUGGAUACUCAUUAAAGCGACCAUUAACCAAACCUUAGAAUAUACUUAUAGACAAACUCUUCAAGAGAAGAUGCUCAACAUCUUGUGCACAUGAAUACGCUCAAUCGAACAGUCCACAAAAGCAUAGUAACAUAACUAGACUAGGCAUACAGACCCUUAUACAACUAUUAGCAUAUGAAGCUAGAGCUAGAGCUCAAGCUCAUGCUUAAUAUUUAAAGAUAAAUCACACAAUUACAUUCAACUAAACACCAACUGCCACACCAAAAAACACACCCAAAAAAAAAAAAAAAACCCAACUGCCCCACCACUCUUACCUGUUCUUCAGUGAUUAGCUAGUGAUCCAGAGCUCAGGUCCAUGACUCCCGCCACUGAUGAAAUUAAUGAAUGCACCAAAUUCCUCCAGCUGAGCGGCACUAAAGAAGAAAAUGUGCACUAGAGUGAAAAGUGGCACUGGAGAAGGACUUGAAGCUCACAGACCUGGAACUUGAAGCUCGCGAAGAAGGACUUGAAGCUUGUGGGCGACGAAGAAAGAAGAGAUGAUGGCAACCGACACGGCCAACGACGGACUGAAGUUCGAGAGGAGCGAGUAGCAUCGUGGAUUGAAUGACAGCGAUUUGCUUGUGCAGCGAGAGAGAGGAAGAAGAAAACAUGAAAAAGAACCCUAAUCCCAAUUCAAUCCAUCGUUCACGAAUAAUCAUCCAACUUUCUUUUCCCUUUUUGUUUUGCCGACUCUGUCUGCAGAAGGAAACGAUAAGUGAGUUGAGGUGAGGUCUCUUGGGCCUAAAAAUUUCUCUUAAGAAAGGCCCUUUUGUUAUGGAUGGUGAGGGAUGUAAGAUCCCCAACCUCGCCACCGAAGUGGACACACACAACAUAUGGAGCUUCCCAGUAAGAUGGGAAAUUUAAUAAGAUUUUUCUUGGUUGCGCGUUUUAGAAUCAGUUCAUUGUCUCUCUUCACUAGACUAAAGCAGAAAUAGAAAGCAAGCAAAGCAGAAGAAAAAACGUAUGAUCUACGAAUAGAAAGAAGGCGCACCGUUUUCUGUAGAGGAUCCCCUGUUUCUGUUUCAGAGUUCGUUGUUUCAAUUUCAGAGCCGCGCUUGCUUUUUUCUGCUCAAAAUCUUCUCUCUGUAAGACUCCCAAGUGUCGAAAUAUUCAGUGUAGCCAAGUUCACUAUCGUCUUCACUAUCGUCUUCACUAUCGUCGGAUGACUUCUCGCGUGGUAUGAGUAUCUCGCAAUUUUCUGGUUCUUUUGAGCUCAAUACAUCAAAAAUCCUUUCGAAUAUGCACCCACUAAUUUCCAAGGAACAUGAAGACUUUAGUUCGUAAAUGCCCUCAAUAUGCUGCAGGCUGGGGCACUGGUCAAUCUUUAUCCGCAAGUUCUUCAAGUUUGACAAACUGCCUAUCCUUUUUAACGAAGAGCACUGGUCAAUCUCUAACUGCUUCAAGUUCUUCAAGUUUGACAAACCGCCUAGGCUUUUUAACGAAGAGCACUCAUGAACGUAAAUUUCUUCCAAUGAUUUGAACGUAGAAUCAAAUUGAAUAUCCUGUACCUCAUGGGACCCCGACAGACUGAACCUUCUAAGCAUCUUUUGGGAGCUUGGGAAAAGGAUCGCUUCCCUCCUAUGGUCAGUCAACUCGGGAGCUUGUAGUUCACUUUUCCCCCGCUCCUCCGGGUGACAAACCUUACUCUUGGAAGAUCUGCGGAUUUUUGAGCUCGAAGCAUCAAAAAUCCUUUCCAAUGAUCUGCACCCCCCAAUUUCCAACCAACGCAAAAACUCCAGUUCGUCAAUGCCCUCAACAACCUUCAAGCUCGGGCACUGGUGAAUCUCUAACCGCUUCAAGUUCUUCGAGCUUGACAAACCGCCUAAGGUUUUUAAUGAAGAGCACUCUUUAACAGAAAAUUCUUCCAAUGAUUCUAACGGAGAAACAAAUCGAAUAUCCUGUACCUCUGGGAACCCCGACAGACAGCAUUCUAUGAGCAUGUUAAGGGAGCUGGUGAAAAGGAAGGCUUCCCUCCGAUGAUCAAUUAACUUGGGAGCUUGUUGUUCGUUGCACCUCGGCUCCUCCGGCUGACAAACCAACCUCUCGGAAGAUCUGCAGUCCUGAAUGCGUGAUCUCUCCAACGAUUCUAAGACAUCGGGAAAUUGAACAUCAUGUUGCUCGCACACCUUGUUUUCUCUCGAUUUUCUCAAUGGAGGAAGCCCGUCAAGGUGUUCUUGUUUCCCUCGAGUUUCGUAGAGCUUUAAAAUUAUCAAGUUUGACGGAAGCUCUUCAAAAGUUGGCAAGUCUAGUCCAUGUAGAGUAAGUUCUUUCAGCUGAGAAAGGGAAGACAGCUCUGUAGUUGGUGCGCGGACAUUUGGAAAGCGAAUGUGCAGCUUGCUCACUUUGGUUAAACUCCCAAUCCACCCCAAGUUGCCAGUUUGGAAUUCAUUUGAUGGGUGUCUAUGUCCAUAGCGACCAGAUAGGAACAGUUCAACUAGAUUAGUAAGGUAUGAGAGGUUAGGGACAGUCUGCAAUGAAUCAGAUGCCCAUUGUAGAGUGGUCAAACUUCUGGGGAGUUCCGGCAGUUCUUCAAUUUUUGUGGCUGAUGCAUUGAUAAAUAACAGGCUUCGUAGUCUACCAAUGGAAUUAGGUAAUCUUGAAAUACUUGUGCCAAAUACAUCCAGUUUCAUUAACUUCUCUAAUUUUGAAACUGAGUCAGGAAGUUCAAUCAGGUCAAAACAACUAUUAAGAGAGAGAUGUUGCAGAUUCUGUAGCUUUCCAAUCUGUUCAGGCAAUUUUCUCAGUCUGUAACAGGAUUUAAUUAUCAAGUGAGUCAGCCACUUUAGCUUCCCAAUAGAGUGGUCAAUUCGCAUCAAAGACCAAAAUGAAGAAAUAGCCAACUCCUCUAAAACUGAGUCCUCAGGAAAGGUUGGUAUCUCAUUUAUCAACCCAUUGUACCUAAUAGUGAGAACCUUCAAUUUCCUUGCCCCCUACAAAAGCCAAUGAAACAUCAGGACCAAAAAGAAAUAAAUAUGGAUGUAGGCUACCAACGAGAAAAUUAGAUUAUAAAUCCAUCAUAUUUUGUCCUUCGUUGAAUGAGAAAAUUAGACUCAGAGGGAAACUGGCAUACCUCGAUUAGGCUUUGAAGCACAUCUUCUGUGAUAUCAAGCCCACUAAGAUUCACCACAACUGCGUUUUCUAGAUGCAACAGAUUGGUUGCCUCCAAACGUUUAUUGGAGGGGGCAUGGGUACGAUCAAAAUAACUGUAACUCAAAUCGAUCAAUCUCAAAUCGGAAAGACAGCCCGUAAAGUCACCUUGGCAGAUUACCUCACGCAACCAAAGAAUCCGCAAAUGCGGGAACCGCUUAAUUUGCUCCGAAGUGAUGAUUUCAUCAUCUGCCCACAAACGAAGAGAUUGAACGCUUCCCUUAAUCUGCCAAUGACAUUGAGGAGCAGAAGCAGGAAUUUGUCAAUAUCCCCCUAUGUUAUUUCUUAGAAGAGAAGAAAAACCGAAACAAAAGAGUGGCUACCAAAUAAAAAACGGGAAUCCUCAAUUAAGAAGAGGGUAUAAACAAUUUCUAUUCAAAUUUGGCCAUACUUUACCUCUGUUGAUCUUAAUUCGCGAAUGAUGUCAUCUUUAUCCCACAAUCUAGCACCCUCUUUUUUGGCAAUUGCUCUUCCAAGAUCUCUAAACUGAUCAUGCAUCCCAAAUCUAUCAUCAUCUAAAAAUAUCAUGCACCUCAUAGUAAGGAGCUUGAUGGCAAUCCUCACGGAAAACUGACAAUCUUUCCACAUGUACAUUGCAUUAGUCUUUUUCUGUCCAAUGAAAAAGCAUGCAAUAUCGAGGAAUAUUUUUUGUUGAUCCAAAUCUAAGGCAUCAUAGCUAAUCCUUAGCUUUUCCAAGACAUCAUUAUGAGGUGUUUUCUGUAGCUUCUCUAGCCACUCUCCCCAUAUUUCUUCUUCUUCCUCACCAAAAAGCGAUGAACCUAUUGCUUUAAGAGCUAAAGGUAGUCCAUUUGCAGUAGAGACAAUCCUUUCUGAAAGAGUGUAGUAAUUGCGUGGAGGAGAGUCGUCAUCGAAGGCAUGCUUACUAAAAAGUUGAAGUGCAUUUUCCUUGCUUAAUGGCACCAUUUCAUAUUCCUUGAAUUUACACUUUAAUCCCCUUUUAUUAUUCAGAAUACUCUUGUCCCUAGUAGUAACAAGUAUCCUAGUACCUCCUGGAUACAAUAUAUUCUCUCCAAUUAGGUUUUUGAUUUGGUCGGCUUUAUCAACAUCAUCCAAUACAAUUAGCAUCUUCUUCCUGCAAAUUUUUUUUUCAAUCAAACGAAUUCCAUGACCAAUGUUAAAAAUGUUAGGAGCCACUUCAGGAUAAUAGAUAUCGGACAAUAUUUUUUGUUGCAGCCUGACAAUGCCAUUGAUUUUUGCCAUUUCCCUCACGUUAUCAAGAAAGCUGCAAUUUCUCCCAAAGCGAUGACAUAGUUUGUUGAAAAUAGUCUCAGCAAGUGUUGUUUUACCGAUGCCGCCCAUGCCAUAGAUUCCAAUGAGCCGCACACCAUCGGAAUCAAUGUCUAAUAAAUCUUCUAUGGCCACUGCUCGAUCCUCCAUUCCAACUAAAUCUUUGGAUACUUUUAUUUCUCUUAUGGCCACUGUUCGAUCCUCUAUUCCAACUAAAUCUUUGGGUACUUUUAUUUCUCUUGUCUCAAGCAAGACCGCUACCUUGUCAACAAUCGCUUGGAUAACUUCUGUGUAGCUGCCACAAAGUUGAAUAGUUUCGAUUGAGAAAAGGUGACAAAUUUGCAUAUUGACCAACCAUCUACUAAGCAACCGGGUGGGAGCGUAAUCAAGUUUAGGAUAAAUCACAAUUCAACGUUAGCCCCCAAAGCUUUGGGAACAUGAUGAAUUACAAACUUGAACAUCCAUUACAAGUUUAAGGAAUAGAGUACGAGAAAUAUUUGAUUUUAUAUCAAGUAAUCGAAUCAAAAUUUCUAGCAAAAAGGGUAGAAGAAUCAAAAUAUAAACAUCUAAUGAAUUGCUGUAAUAGAAUAUUUACUUAUUUCUUUGGACGUGUAAAAGAACUUUGCAAAUGCAACAGUUCCAUAAUCAAGUUCUCUUGCAUACAAUGGGAAUCUUAAUACAUACAUGGAUCAAAGACGAAGCAAAGCCAAAUUUUUCAUACGAUGGAAAAUAGGUGAAAAACGAAAUUAUAAUAACCCUAUUGGGUCAGAAUUUUUUUUUGGAAAUCUCGUGAUUUACAAAAAUAAAAAGAAGAAUUUGAAACUUUCUGUUUAAAUUUGCAAAAACUAGAGUUGUAAUGUAAUUAAAUAAUUUUUAUAAGAAUUAUGGCCCAAUCGUACAAAAUAAUUUUCAGUCAUGGUUAGAUUGCUACCCUGGAUAUUUUGCCAACUCCCAUCCCUUGAUGCCACCAACUUCUUUGAGAGCCUGCUGCCAGGUCUGUAUAUCCUCGGAGUUGAACUUAUUCUUUUGACCCAAAUUCGAUAUGGCAUUCUUGUACAAUUCAGUUUUUAACUUCACGUCUUCGGGUUUCACGUUGUAGAAGAUGGGCAAUAUGACCUUCUUCUUCCCCUCUUCUUUAGAUUUAGCAGUGUUCUCCACCAUCUUCGUGAGCUCGUUGAGGCACCAGUGACUUGAAGCAUAGUCUUUGGAGAAGAUGGGUAUGUAGAGCUCGGAGUUGUCGAUUGCUUGUGGAAGGUUGUCACUAAUUCUUUCACCAAAUUGAAGUUCCUCAUCAUCAAUGAAAACACGAAACCCAACACGUAACAAGGCGUGGUAGAGGCUAUUGGUGAUGUACGGCGAGUAUCAGGUCCCCUAAAACUCAAGAACACGUGAUACAAACCUCCAAAUGUACUGCUGGUGCUUGUUCUGGUCUCUGGGCUUGCCAUAGGAGCUCACUUCACACUUAGCAGGUUCAGCCGUCUCUCUCUCUCUGAUUGACACUGUUGAAAUACUUCUUCCAUGCAAAUUCGCACAAAGCCUUGUGGUUCUCUGAAUGUGAAAAGCUUUAAUUACAUUCUUAAUGUGAAAAGCUUUCUCCACCAGAUCCUCCUCCCUCUAGAAUUUACAAAAAGAGAACCAGUGCGUUACAUCAAAAAAGGAGAAAAGGAUGUUUAACUAAUUGAAAGUUACGGACAGGCAACUUCGCAGCACCUACGGCUUUCAAUUUAAAGUCAAUAAAGUUGAUCAACUUUAGAAAAGAUGAGGUUAAGUUUCUCCUUCGUGCUUUUCCCUCUGUGCUUUUGAACUUUGGGAUUAAAAAAAAUUUGAUUCUCAAACAUUUAAAUCAUGCAUGAUUAUUCUAAAGCUAUAUCUAUAGUUGAACAUAUUUAAAAUCCCAAUCCGGUAUCGUAAAAUCACAAGGUAUCUAUAUAAAGUAAGAAGAUACUCCUAAAGAAUUAAAGCAGGUUUUGCUGCAUUCAAUUUAUCGGAUAAUUAGAAAAAAUUUCUCCAUACAUAGAGAUUGGAUUUGUAGCAUUCUCAACAACAAAUGCCACACCUAAGCACUACCUAAGCAUAUAUGAGAUAUUUGAUUUGAUGUCUUUGCCUCAAAGACUUACCUUUUAUUAUAAUUAAUGACCUUUAAAACUCUAAUAUUCUCAUAAAAUGUGCCUUUAUAUCAACAGGCAACUUCCCAAAAGAUGCAGCUUUUAAUUAAUAGUGAAUGAAGUUGAUGGCUUCAGAAAAAACCAGAUGAAGGACAAUUAUGGAGAUGUACCACUUUUUUCGGUCGGUCGAGAUGUACAAUUAUGGAGAUGUACCACUUUUUUUUUUGACAGCGGAGAUGUACCAUUUCACACGCCCAAUAUCUUUCGCCUUUCUUCUUGGUGCCUUUGAACUUUUGAAUUAAAAAAAACUCCAUUUUUCAAAUAUUUAAAUCAUUUAUAAUUAUUCUAUAGCUAUAUCUAUAAUUAAACGUAUUUAUAUAGAUAAAAUCACAAUCUAUAUAAAUGUAUAAUAACAAAAUAUUCCUAAAGAAUAUCUCUCAUUAUGACAUAUGAGACUUUGGACAAUUAGAAGAUUUUCCUACAAACUAUUGAGAUUGGAUUUGCUACAUUCACCACAAAAAUGCUCCACCUAAGCACUACCUAGCAGUAUGCUUACUACUCACUAUGACGUAUUUGUUUUGGUCUCUUCCCCUUAAAGACUUACAUUUUAUCAUAAUUAAUUACCUUCAACCCCACAAUAUUGCAAUAUAUGUGCCUUUAUAUCAAAAAGCAAAUAUUUUACAACACUUAUUGUCUUAUUGAAAACUAUUAGAAUGCAAGCAUGAUAUAAUUAGUGUGGUUUGGACAUCAGCCAAACCUAAUUAUAUAAACAUUGAAAUAUAUCUCAAGUCGGAGCGGGAUUAAACCGGAUCGAAAAAGACUUAUCGACACUCGACCUCUAAUCAAGAGUGGUGAGAGGAAAUGCAAUGAUGGCCUGUCCAUGGCCAUGGUGCCAUCCCAUCAUGGUGUUGCUUUAAGCGUCGAAAGAAAGAGAGACCGCCCUGGUUUUGACCAUAAGAGACGACGACUUUUUUUUUUUUUGUGCCGAAAGAACUGCUUUGAUUGACAGCCGCCACGUAAACCCUCAAAUGACGCUAGCCCAGAACCCACCACCAGGGCGCCACACGUAAUACACCUAAUAGUUUGCCAGCCUCUCUACAACUUGUGUUGUAGAGGCUUCGAACACCUGACUUUUCCCUUCAAAGACAGGAGCCUACUCAGUAAAGCCACCACACGGCCGGUGGUAUAAGGGACGACUUUGCCCAGCUGAAGAACGGGAAAAAAGAGAGAAUGAUGAUGGCCACCGCUGAUACGAGACAAAAGGGGAAGGAAAACGACGAAGAAAGUUGCAAUAAUGGCGUCAUUUAACGAUGGCCGCUCAUUGUUUCCUUUCUUCUUUAUUUGCUUCUUGUGAAUUUUCUCUGUGAAUACGAAGAGGAAGAGCUCUUAAUGAGAGCUCCGAGGACUGCACAACGAGAUUUAAAAUUUCCUCUUAAAAGUUUUGAUUCAAAAAGUUUUUCUUUAUGAAAUUACACAAAAUGAAGUCAAUUAAAUCUUGUGUUAACGUUUAGGUCAAUCUUUUUAUGCGAUUGAAAUAUUAUUUUGAGAGAAAUUAUGAGGGUUAAAUACAGAGUUAUUAGUCAUAUUUGAGGGAUAAAAAUACAAAUAAUAUUUGAGUAACUCAAGUAUUAUUAUAAUCUCCAUUGCAUUGUAAUUUCAUGGUUUUCAUUUCCUCAUGGACGUAGGUCACAUAACCGAACCACGCAAAUUUAGUGUUUGAUUCAUUUCCUUGUUUUACAUUUUUAUUCAAGCACUUGUUUUAUUUCCAACAAUAAAUAUGGUUUGAAGAAAAGUGAAACCAAAUUAAACCGUAUUAUAGUCGAGAUCAAACCAAGCCAAACCAUUUUAUGUGGUUUGAUUCGGCUUAAUCGUUUUUUCUGCUUUUAUUUUACCUCUUCAUCAUAUGUAAUUUCAUGAUUAAAAAAAAAAAAAAAAAAACAAAGUCUACGCCACAACCCUUCCGAGGCGAGAUCCCUGAGGAAGUUACCGAAUUAUCAAGUAAGCAUGAAUGGUCCCUUUUGCAAGGUGACGCUUGCUCUUGGCAGGAUCAAUCUCAACUUGGUUUCUAUUAAUUAUUUCAUUUGCUCAAGAGUCGCCAUUAAUUUUUUAUAAACCGAUUAGGAGUCAAGUAAAACACAAGAGCCUAUUUUACUUCUACAAACCGGAGAUUUGUGGGUCUAACGACUUGAUUAGGCUGGAUAUGUAAUGUGCAAUUAUUCAUGCGAUCUUCCAAUCUUAGUUACCCAUUCUGUUCUCAAUAUCGAGGGAAGAAGGCGAUCAUGCAUGAAAUCACUCAAGCAAACACAAAUAAAAUCCAAUAAUACUGAAACAAAUAGAGCAAAUAAAAGAUACGAAAAUAAAGAAAUUGAGCCGUAUUGCAAAAAAAAAAAAAAACAAAACAAAAUCAAUACAAAGCUUUGUUCUUAAGUUCCAAGAUAGGACCCCUUGAGCUAUAAAUAGAAACUCGAUGUUAGAUCUCCAACUAUGGCUCCAAACCGGAAAGUCAAUAAAUGAUACUUCAUGAAUAUCCACUAUAUAAACUACUUUCCUAAAAUGAACAAUUACUUCAAAACGUAAAAUCUACUCAAUGCAAUGUUAAGAAAACAAAAUUUAUUUAUGAAUAUGCAUUACUGGUAAAAUACACUCCUAGAUGUUUUUUUAUUUUAUUUUAUUUUCUGAAUAUGCAGUUUAUCUUUCCACUUGUUUUUUUUUUUCUUUUUUGCAUUUCCCCCUUCUUUAUAUAUACACACACACAUAUAUAAGUGAAGCAAAAUUUGAUUACGUGUUGAAAUAAAUAUGAACUAGAAUCUAUAUGCCAAAAUAAUAUGUAAUAUAAAUCCGGAUUUUCAUGAAAAUUUGCACUGCGUUCACUUGGAAUUUUUUUUCUUUGGAAACGCUCAAUUGGAAUUUCAACCUUAAAAUUGCAUCAAGAACGACUUAGUGCACACGAGAAAAUAAAGAAAACUAAAGUGACAUAAUGCUAUGAAUUAGAGCCAAAUAAUCCACACUAUGCGAAAAUCAACGGUGGAUGAAUAAAUCUAUACGAAUAACCAAUUUUCUCUCUACCGCUUUUUUUAGGGUGCAGUUUAGUUAACCGUCCUCUGUCAAAUGAUGGAGUGACAGUCAACUAAUGACACACAAUUCGCAUAGAUUCCAUCUUUUACCCUUUUUUUAUUUUAAUUUUUAUGCUUUCUUAUUGCAAGCUUAAAUUGAGCGAUAAAAUCAUAAGAGGGCCAUACAAUCAAUUUUCAUGAAUAUUAUGAAAGGAAAAAUAAAUUAGAUACCAAAAUAUAAAUAAUUAGAAGUAAAAAAUAUUGUCCUCCACUAAAAAGAAAUCAUUCAUUUCGUUAGGUAGAUCUAUUAAAUUUAAAAGAUGAAAAAACACUUGAAUUUUUGGCUUUGCAACUAAUAACAAAAUUAUUGUGCAAUGAAUUGGCUUCUCAAUCCUAUCGCCAAAAUCAAAUUGCUUUGGAAGGACUCUCCGAUGACCUAAAAUUAAGACAAGUAAUGUUAAUUACGCAUAAAACAAAUGAAGUAAAGAAAAUAACAAAAUAAGAAUAAUGAAUUAGUAGAGAAGAAAAUUUACCCCACUGAUCCAAAUCUCGUAGAUGAAGAUGAGUUGGGACCUAAAAUAUUACAAAAUCAAUCUUAGGAUCACACGAGUGAAGACUAAGCCAAAAUGAUUUUUGAUCAAUUUUUAUAAAUAUUUUACCUAAUAUAGCUUCAUGUUUGGUUCGUUGAGAAGAUUCAUGUAACCACAAGAUAUGACCAUAUAUCAUUUUAUAUAGAUAAAAAUUCAAUUUAUGGGAAGGUAUUUUAAAUAAAAUAAUAAUAAUACAUAUCAGCAACUAUUGAAAACCCUCGAUUCUUUCCUAAUUGCAAAUCAAGUUUUAAGAAUGGUUACGGUAACUCAUAUCAUCCAAAUUACCAAUUAUAUUUUGGUAUCUAAUUUAUUUUUUUCUUUCAUCAUAUUCAUGAAAAUUGAUUGCAUUGGUCCUCUUAUGAUUUUAUCUCCUAAUUUAAGCUUACAAUAACAAAAAAAAAAAAAAAAGGGUAAAAGAUGGAUUUCAACCGUUUCCAUCCAAAAUGUGUGGUUCUCAACUGACCGUCACUCCAUCAUUUGAAGGAGUGAUGGUCAGCUAAGCCUUUUCCACAUUUUAACUAGAGGUAUGCCUGCAUAAAAGUUAAGUGCGUCUUCAUUGCUCAACCCAACCCACAAAUUCUUAAUCCUUGCAUAUAUACUUAAGUUCCCUCAUAUACGCUCGUCCCCUAGAGGCAAUAAGUAUCCUAGUACCAAGAUACAAAGAAUUCACUCCAAUUAAUUUUUGGAUAUGGUUGUCCUCGUCGACAUCAUCCAAUACAAUUAGCAUCUAUCAAUGUUAUCAAUGUCACGAGUCACUCUAGAAUAACAUAUAUCGAAAAAUAAUUUUUCUUGUGGCAUGACUAGGCCCUUGGUUUUUAGCAUUUCCCUUGUGUCAACAAGAAAGUUGCAGUUUUUCCCAAAGCGAGGAUAUAGCUAGUUGAAGAUAACCUUGGCGGGUGUUGUUUUGCCAAUGCUCCCCAACCCAUAGAUUCCAAUGAACCGCAUACCGUCAAAAGCGGUGUUUGAUAAAUUGUCUAUGGUUGUUAUUCAAUCCUCCAUUACAACUAAAUUUUUGGUCAGUUGCCUUUGUCUUGUCUUCACCCUGACCACAAUCUCAUUAACAACCGACGUGAUAAGAUUCCCAUAGCUGCCACAAUGUCAAACAAUAUUAAUUGAGAAAAAGUGACAAAUUUCCAUGUUGACAAACAAUUUACAUAUAUAAGAUCUUGAAUCAGCCUCAAUUCAUUUUGAAUGCGCAGCACUUAUAUUUCUGUUAGAUUGCACGUUUCAGAAACAAUAAUGACAUUACAUUCAUUAAUGGGAAGAGCGUUUUGUUACAUUCUUAAUGCGAAAAGCUUCUCCACCAGAUCAUCCUUCUUGAAAAAUUUACAAAAGAAGAACCAACGCAUAACAUUAGAAAAGGAGAAAAGGAUGUUUAUUAUGAGAAAUAAAUGAUGAAAUUCUUGAUUUGAAUGCCCGAAGUCCGGUGCCACUUUCUUUAGUGAGAGACGUCAUUUUGGACAUUUGUACCGUGUGACUCACGUAAUUUAAUUGAAACUGACGAACAAACAACUUCACAGCAGUUGCAGCUUUCAAUUUAUGGUCAAUAGAGUGGAUGGCUUCAGAGAAAAUGAGAUGAAGGACAAUUAUGGAGGUCUACCUUUUCACAAGCCCAAUUUCUUUGGAGUUUCUUCUUAGUGCAUUUGAACUUUUGAAUUUAUGACCAUUUUUUAAUUAAAAAAAUCUGAUUUUCAAACGUUUAAAUCAUUUAUAAUUAGUUUAUAGCUAUAUCUAUGGUUAAACAUAUUUAUAUAGAUAAAAACGGAAUUUAUCCAUAUAAAUGCAUAAUAAAAAAUAUUCCUAAAGAAAAGUUUAAGUUAAAUGCGUUUAUUUCAAGUGAGUGAUUCAUUGUUAGUCAAAUUUCCGCUGUUUUUUUUUUGUUUUGUUUUGGACAUUUUAACAAUAAUAACAUUACAUUUCAUUAAUGAAAAGAGCUUCUCCACCAUAUCAUCCUCCUUCAGAAAUUUACAAAAGAAGAGCAAGCACAUUACAUUAUUAAAGGAGAAAAGGCUGUUUAUUGUGAGAUAUAAUGACAAAAUUCUUGAUUUGAACACCAAAGUCCGAUGCCACUAUCGGUAGUGAUAGACAUCAUUUUGGAUUUUUGUAUUGCGUGACUCAUGAGAUUUAAUUGAAAGUUACGGACAGGCAACUUGACAGCAUCCGCAGCUUUCAAUUAAUAGUGAAUAAAGUUGAUGGCUUCAUGAAAAAUCAGAUGGAGGACAAUUAUGGAGAUGUACCAGUUUUUUGGUCGGUUGAAUACAAUUAUGGAGAUGUACCAUUUCACACGUCCUUUCGCCUUUCUUCUCGGUGCCUUUGAGCUUUCGAAUUAAAAAAAGAAAAAUUCUGAUUUUGGGCGUGGAAAGAAAGAGAGGCCGUGCUGGUCUUGACCAUAAGAGGACGACUUUGCUUGGCCGAAGAAAGGGAAAAAGACAGACCGAUAAUGGCCACUGCUGACAUCGGACAGUACAGAAGGGAAACGAAAACGACGAAGAAAGUUGCAGUAAUGGUGUCUUUUAACGAUGGCCAGUCAUUGUUUCCUUUCUUCUUCUUUGUUUUCUUCUAGUGAAUUUUCUCUUUAAAUUCGAAGAGGAAGGGCUCUUAAUGAGAGCUCCGAGGACUGCACAGAGGAGAUUGAAAAUUUCCUCUUAAGGGUUUGAUUCAAAAAAGUUUUUCUUCGUGAAGUUAGUCGAAAUUAAAGCUGAUUAAAUCUUGUGUUAAUAUGCAAAUUGAGAUAUUAUUUCGAAAGAAAUUAUGAAGGUAAAAAACAUAGAGUUAUUAGUUGUACUUAAGGGAUAAAAACACCAAGGGUAUCUGAACGACUUGAAUAAAAUUAUAAUAUUCGCUGCAUUGUAAUUUUAUCUAUAAUGGAAUUGUGUGCUCCUUUCCUCGUGGACAUAGAUCACACAACCAAAUCACGUAAAUUUGAUAUCUGAAUUAUUUUCUUAUUUUGUAUAUAUUUUAUUUAAUCACUUGUUUUAUUUUCAAUAAUAAAUACGGUUUGAAGAAAAGAGGAACCAAGCUAGACUGUAUUAUAGUUAAAGAUCAAACCAAGCCAGACGUUUUUUUUUUUUUGGGGGGGGGUUGAUUUGGCUUAAUCGUUCUUUCUUCUUUAGUUUUCCUCUUCAUCAUUUGUAAUUUUAUGAGAAAAAAACCAAAUUCCAUGUCACGAAACUUCCAAAGCGAGAUCCCCGAGGAAGUUGCUGGAUCACCAAGCAAGCACAAAUGGCCCCUCUUGCGAGGUGAUGCUUGCUCUUGGCACGAUCAAUCUCAACUUGUUUCAAUUAAUUAUUUCGUUUGAUUGAGAGUCACCACUAACUUUUUAUGAACCAAUUAGGAGUCAAGUAAAAUGCAAGAGUCCGUCUUACUUCUGCAAACAUGAGAUUUGUGAGUCCAGAAACUUGAUUAGGCAAGAUACAUCUCAAGCCCAAUGUUGCAUACUUUCUCUUUCUAUUAAAACAAUUAUUCAUGUGGUCUUCCCAAUCUUAGUUUCCCAUUUUAUUCUCAAUGUUGAGAAAGGCUGGCGAUCAUGCAUAAAUUCACUCAAGCAAACACGUAUAAAAUCCACUAAUACUGAGACAAAUAGAGCAAAUAAAAGGUAGGAAAAUAAAGGACCCAACCCGUAUCAGGGAAACAAAUCAACAAAAGCCUUGUUAUAAGGUUCCGGGACAUGCCCCUUGAGCUAUUAAUAGAAACUCAGUGUAAAAUCUCCAAAAUAAACUAUGGCUUAAAACCAGAAAGUAAAUAACUGAUACCUCAUGAAUAUAUAUAAACUACUUUCCCAAAAAGAAGUAUUACAUCAAGAAAUAAAAUCUACUUAAUGCUAUAUAAAGUGCAAUGCAAUGUUUAGAAAACAAAAUCUAUUUAUGAUUAUGCAUGAUUCCUAAAUUAUCCUCCUAGAUGUAUAUAUAUAUAUAUAUAUUUUAAAUAGAAUCUAUCUGUUUUUUUGCUUUUUCACAUUAACCCCUUCAAUAUAUAUUAUAGUGAAACGAAAUUAAACUAAAAAAUAACUAAGUGCCGAGAUAAAUUUGAACUAGUAACUAGAUACCAAAAUAAUAUGUUAUAUAAACCCAGAUUUUCGUGAAAAUUUGCACCAUGUUGCGUUGGAAUUUCAACCUAAACUUCUUGUGGGAACGAGCUAAUAAACACCAGAAAAUAAAGAGAACUAAAGCGAUAUAAUGCUAUGAAUUAAAGCAAAACCAUUCCACAAUAUGCGAAAUCAAGGGUGGAUGAGUACAUCUAUACUAAUUGCCGAAAUUAAAUAUUUAUUAAAAAAAAUUUCUACGCUGUUACAGGUCUGAAGUGUUCAAAUUGAAUCACAUCAUGUAGAUUAUUUAUAUUUCCAUGUUUAUGUUUGCUGAGACACGAGGAACAAUCAACAUGAACUAACACAAAAAUCCACGCAGGUUCUUGAUUUUAUUUCCUUUCUUCUUUCGUCUUUCUCUUCACAUGUGCAGCAUAAUUCCUUUUCACUUGUGCUGGUCGGAUAAGGCUGUCGCAUAUUUCCCUCUUGGUCGAGCCCAUGAAAGGGAGCCAGGGUCGUGCGGGCUUGGACUCGGAAGUUCAAAUAAAUUCAUGGCACAUUUUGCGUGUUGGGAUCCACUCAAAUUCAAUUCACAAGCGGACUAAUUUAAAUGAAAUUCGUAGUCAGGUUUCACGCUUUCUUUGGUGCGAAUCCAUUAUUCCUAACAAAAUGUUGGUACUAUCUAAAUGCCGUAAAUGAGGAUGCAAAAAAUGUGCAAUCUCAAAAAAUUUAGGCAUUAGCAUUCUGCGUUGACAACAAUUCAUAAAUUCACACAAAGUGAAAAUCAAACCUAUUUAAAUAGCUAUUUCAUGUAUAAAUGGUCAAAAUAAUUAGCAAUAUCAAUCAUUUAUACAAUGCGGGGUCGCGGUUUUGGUUUGGUUUCAAAAAAGUUGAAACCAAGCCAAACCACAAAAAACGAUUUGUUUCAUGGACAACAUGGAUAUUGUUAAGAGGGACCCUCGAGCUCGAAGGGAAGGUGUUUUGGUUGCCAGCAACAUCGUGGAGCUUGGAUUAAGGCAAGGCUGCCUCCAUCAAGAUGGAUAGGGAAAGCAACGCUAUCAACCCAUAGAUCCAAAUGCCGCGAGAAUCGAUCCAGGCAUACUGGUUCGAGACGAAGGCCCCCAAUCGUGAACUGAAGCUUCAUGGAUAUCAUGAUUUUCUAGAAUACUUUCAAAAAGAUCAUACUUUCAAGAAUAUUUUUUACACAUCAUUGCAUACUUUCAAGCACAAACGGACAUGGCACAUGAAGUCAUGCCAGAGCAUAAAAUGACAAAGGAAUUUCCCUGACGACAUCUCCAAAAAUAUCAAAAGUCGCAUAAGUAAUGUUAGGAAUUAUUUGACAAUUGAAUUUAGAGGACGAAAUUGGAAAAUGUGGUACUGAAAAAGCGUUGUGGGAAGUCUAACCCCUCCCCACACAUAAAUGAAUCCUUCAACAACAAGUUUCAUUGGCUUUCGCAAAUGAUCAAUAUUACACGUGGACCUAGUUUCCAAUCAGCCUAAUUUUUUAAAUUGAUUGGCAGUUACUCCAUCUCAUACUUUAAAGAAAACUUUGGAGUUGGCCCAAAACUUCCAAAACUCCUUUUCCAACAACAUAUUUGCUCCUUGCCGAGUGAAACCUUUGAUCUCAAGACCGUUGGGCAAGGUGCUACAUGACCUAUAUGAAGACUCCAACGUAAUUGUUGUAGGGUUGGCCGAGAAGAUCAAAACGCUUUCAAAGCUUUUCUUUUUCUUUUUGGUUCUUUGCUUAUUCUUUGAUAUAUAUAAUAUUAUUUAUUAUCGCGAUUCUACUCUUAAUUCUCUAAGAGAGUGUUGAUGUAAUUAUUGUUCAGAGUGCUUUGCGUGUAAAGUAAAGUCAAGGUACUUGUAGAGUGAGCUUCAGUUCCUCUUAGAGAGGCAAUUCCGUUCAUAAUUAGUGAAUUCAGCCUUGUUGUUAGAUAGGAAAAUCAUUCAAAAAAUUCAUCAACUUAUUGCAUGGCGGUUAAUUCAGUCAUAAACUUUUCAAUUUGACAAAUUUAGUCUUCAACGUUUUAACGAUUUUCUAACGUAGAUCAUCCAGUCAAUUUUGAUUGGAAAUAGUUAAUAUGGCAGUCCAGUAAGCACUAGCCAUUCUAUGUGUAAUGGCCAGGCUAUCGGCGAUUGAUGUAAACUAUUUUUAAAUUUUUUUAAUAUAUAUAUUUUUUUCGUUUUCUUGUCCUUCAUCCGAAUAGAAAUGAAGUAUGAGGCGCUUGCCUUGUGCAUCCACCUAUAAAUUGAUUUGUAGUCUAUUCUUUCUAUCGUUCUUUACAUUUUUUAUGAUAGAAGAUAUUUUCUAUACGUAGCAUAUUUUGUCUACAAAUAUUGUUUCAUCCUCUACGCAUUUUUUUGCAAGAAAAAAAGUGUCAAAAAUCCUAAAAUAACCUAUUCAUUCUCCUCUUGAUUGUUUAAUUAAGUCCAUUUCACACAUAAGCAUUUUCUUUGUAUAAAUAUUAAGUGAAAUGGCACCAAUUGUCCGUUUAUUCUUGCCGAAAAUUCAAGAACGUCCUUGUAUCAUUUUUUGUCCAAAAUCAUCCCUAUACUUUUUAAAAGGGUCAUUGCUCGUCCUCCUAUUAUGUCACUACUUUUUUCAAUCGAUUUAUACCAAUAUGGAUAAUCGGAACAUUGAGUAGAAGCCACGUGGCAGCCAUGGCUGCUUAAGCUUUAAGCUCACAAUUGUGGUCAUUUGAGCUCGAAGCUUGCCACCACCAUGGUUGCUUGAGCACGAGCUCAAAGCUAAUGGCCAUGGUCACUUGAGCUCGAACCUUGUGACCACUAUUGCCAAAUCUGGAUUCGAAGUUCACAGCAGUCAUGGCUGCUUGAGCUUGAAGCUUGCGGAUGCUAUGAUCAAAUAUGGCAUCGAAGGUUGUGGCUGCCGUGGCCAAAUUUGGCCACCAUGGCUGCUCGAGCUCCAAACUCAUGGCCAUGUCCGUUUGAGAUCAAAGCUUGCAGCCUCUACAACCAAAUUUGGCUUUGAAGCUCAUGGCUUGAGCUCUAAGCUUGCGAUUUGCUGCUAGAUCUACUUCAAAGCUCAUAACCACCGUGAUCACUUGAGCUCGACCUUGAAACUUGCGGCCAUCAUGGCUUUUCGAGCUGGUGGCCAGGGUGGAGCUUGAGUGGUCAUGCGUGUGAGGUCUUAAAGGUCGUAGAUCUUGAGCUCGCGAUCACCAUGGCUACUCGAGCAUUUGAGCCGCGGGCAUUAUAAGUGAUAACGUGAUUCUUUUAUGUGGAAAUACAAAAUAGGAGAUCUUUUUUUUUUUUUUUGGUAAAACAAAAUAGGAGAUCUUUGAUCUUUAUAAUUUUCACAAUAAGAAAGAUGGAGACAUACCUUUAUUCAUAGUAAUACACUUGAAAGUAUUUGUCGCGGAAAAAUCGAAGAGAUGAAGAAAUUUGAUUUCUCUCCCUUAACCCAUGCUUUUCUUUAAUGUAUUCUAUUUGAUAGAGGAUAUAAUACAGCAUUAUUUUUUAUGUUGUAGGUGAAAAGAGGACUAGACUCUUAUUUAUGCAUGCUAUUAAUAUGCGCUUUCAAUUAAAGCGCCUUUUAACUUCUAUGAGAGUCGCACCUCUUUGGAAGAAUGGUAACUUCUCAAUGAGGAUUGUACUAUUUUAUUAGAGUUGUAAUUUCUUAUAACCAAUACAUUUUAGCAUUAAAUAUUUAUUAAACCAUUAAUCAAUAAUAUCAUGUGUGCCACAAUAAUUCUUACAUUCUCCCGCUUGGCCCAUAUGACCUUCCUUUCAAGGUUUAAUAAAGACCAUAAUGUGCACAAUAACGUUAUGCUAAAACCUUUCAUAAAUUGGCUAUCAUAUAAUAAUCACAAUUAAGUAAAAAAAAAAAAACUAAUGCAAGUCAUGGCAGUUGUAUGCCAUUAAUCGAGAUAGUUCCUUUCAUGUACUACAACAUAGCUCUCUACUUAACAUAAUCAUAAAUGAGGAGUACGGUAAUGGUCCAACCAUAAUGUCUUUAUAAGAAACUAACCUGUUUAACAUUCAUCUAUUUCCAUAAGGUAUACUAAAUAGAAACAAGAAAUAUCAAAGAUGCAUAAUUGAGCUCAGAGUGUCAAAUACAUAAACUUAAUGCAAUCAUAAUACAAUAAUUAAUGAUGUCCAAUAAUGUCCAUCCUUUCAACAUGCUCAUUAAAUGUUUUGGGUGGAAUCUCUGUCACGACCCAAUCUCAUUGUCCAUCCCUCGUGAGGAGAGGAAGAGGAAAGGUUGGAUUUAUGUGUACUUGACCACAAAAGUUCCCUCAUGGUUCCCAACCACAGGGAUGUCAUCACCUUACCCCGUGGACGAACCUCGUGUGAGUUCACUUAAUCGUAAUCUUGAGUUUUCCAAACUUGUACACCACAUGACAGUGAAGUGUCGCAACCCUCCCUCAACACCACGGUAUGUCUUGAUCGACAAUUUUAAGGUCGAAAGGAAUCUGGACGUAAAUGUGAGUUUAGGGAUGCCUUUACCACGAUAACCCUAUCGAUGGAACAUUUUGCCCAUAAGAAUGACAUCACUUCAUCCUUUAGCGGUACAACCAAUAUCAAGUAUGCUAAAUUGCGGUGAGUCUUAUCAAGACCCAUAUCCCGCGCGACGGGUUCAUUUAUAACAUCUAGUUAUUUAAGACAACCUAAAAAUAGGACGGGAGUCACCACUAGCCUUAUUUUUGGGGGGUCGGCCAGAAAAUUCAAUCGAGGAUUGAGAGUGUUUCCUCGAUUUCUACGCAAUCAAAUAUCUAGGUUCAGAGACUUAGGUUACAAGUAUUCUAGAACCAAUAAACAAAGAUUUAACUCCAAUUAGUUUUUGGAUUUGGUUGCCCUUAUCAACAUCAUCCAAUACAAUUAGCAUCUUCUUGUUGCAAAUUGUUUCUCCAAUCAUAUUGAUACCAUGAUCAAUGCUAUGAAUUCUACAAGCCACUCAAGAAUAAGAGAUAUCAGACAAUAUUUUUUCUUGCAAUUUGUCUAAACCCUUGGUUUUUGCCAUUUCCCUCACGUCUUUGAGAAAGUUGCAAUUUUUCCCAAAGUGAGGACAUAGUUGGUUGAAGAUAAUUAUGGCAAGUGUUGUUUUACCGAUAUCGCCUAUCCCAUAGAUUCCAAUUAGUCACACACCACCAUAAUUGAUAUCUAAUAAAUUGUUUAUGGUUGUUAUUCAAUCCUCCAUUCCAGCUAAACCUUGGUUACUUGCCUUUGUCUUGUCUCGAGCUUGACCACAACCUCGUCAAUAGCUGCCUGGUUAAGUUUUGUUUAGCUGCCACAAAGUUGAACAGUUUCAAUUAAGAAAAUGUGACAAUUUGGUAUGUUGACCAACCGUCUACUAAGCAAAGAGGUGGGAAUGCGAUCAAGUUUAGAAUAUAUCAAAAUUUAACAUUACCUCAAAGCUUUGUGAACAUGAUGAAUUACAAACUUGAACAUCCAUUACAAUAGAAGAAAUGAAAUGUUUGAUCCUUAUAUCAAGUAGAAGGCUCAGAAUCUCUGGCCAAAAAGGGUGGUGAAUCAAAAUAUAAACAUCUAUUGAAAAACUGUAAUAGAAGAUUUACUUAUUUCUUCCGAUGUGGAAAAAGAACUUUGCUAUGGAAACAGUUCCUUAAUCAAGUUCUCUAGCAUACAAUACGAAUCUUAAUACAUACAUGGAUCAAAUUAGUAUUAAAAAGAUCAAGCUAAUCCAAAUUUUUCAUAUGAUGGAAAAUAAAUGGAAAACCAACUUAAAUAACCACAUUAGGUUAAAAAAAUUUGGAAAUCUCGUGAUUUAAAAAAACUAAAAGAAGAAUUUGAAACCUUCAGUUUAAAUUUAGGUAAUUAAAGUUGGAAUAUAAUUAAUGAAUUUUCAUAAGAACUAUGCUUGAUUGUACAAGAUAAUCUUCACAAUCAUGGUCAAAUUGUUACCCUGGAUAUUUCUCCAUCUUCCAUCCCUUGGUGCCAACAACUUCUUUUAGGGCCCGCCCCCACAUCUCUAUAUCCUCAGAGCUGAACUUAUUCUUCUGACCCUCCAUCUAUUGCUCCAAAUUUGAUAUGGCCUUGUUGUACAACAUUGUUUUCAACUUCACGUCAUCGGGUUCCACAUUGCAGAAGAUGGGCAAUAUGACCUUCUUCCCAUCUUCUUUAGAUUUAUAGGUGUUCUCCACCAUCUUCGCAAGCUUGUCAAGGCACCAAUGACAUGAAGUGUAGUUUUUGCAGAAGAUGGGUAUGUAGAGCUUGGAGUCAUCAAUCAUUUGUGGAAGGUUGUCACUGAUUCUUUCACCAAAUCUAAGUUCCUCAUCAUCAAUGAAAACAUGAAUUGCAGCAUGUAACAAGGUAUGGUAGAAGCUAUUGGUGAAUGUACGAUGAGUAUCAAGCCCUCUAAAACUUAGGAAGACCUGGUACUCACCUCCAAAUGUAUUAUUAGUGCUUGUUUCAAUCCCUAGGCUCGCCAUAGGACCAAACUGUCACGCCCCGAACCUCAAGCGCGCCAACAUCCCACCAUGGUCAUGCAAAUGUGACAUUCCCAGGUAGUGUGGCCGACCCCAUUCAUAUAUUAUUGUGCAAGCGGAACAUAUUAUAAAACCCUUGACAAUGAAAUAUGGGAUAGACAAGCAGGAAGCAAAACCACAACAUAACACUUUCAUAAUUCAACAGAAUUACAAACAGAGGUCUACGGCCAAAAGUCUACAAAAAACCGACUCUUAAAAAGGAACUGUCCUACGACCUACAAGUCAGACACGUUCUCCAAUCCUUAUGACUUCACCUCUACAACUCCUCAAGGCCAACCAAAGCUAUCUGGUCACUCCGUCCACCAAGGACCUGAAAUUUUAAUCCCACAACCGGGAUGAGACAUUGUCUCAGUAAGUUCAACCCCCUAAACCCCUAUUAGAAAGAAAAUACACCUCGGGUGGCCUAGCCACAUCACACAAAAGACUUAUCUCGUCUUAAUUCCUUCCUACAUAUUAGCACAAUUUGUAUCACACAAUCUCAGGUAGUAAUAAUAAUUCAAACAAAUGGAAACGCCAUCACUUUCAUAUAAAUCACAAUCGCACUUAGUGCGCAUUCCAAUUAUUAUUCACUACCACACAAGAGCAUAGCCUACUCGCAGUUCGGCUAUCUACUGACAUUAAUGCCAGGCAUCGCCUCCCCCCCUUGGAGCGCGGCUUCGUCACCACGAUGACGGCAUUCCUGAAGGAGCAUGGGUCUAGUUGGCAUAGCCUCUACUACGACUCGAGCCACGUCACUCUGUUGACGGCAUUUCUAAAUGAAUAAAGGUCCAGUUGGUGUAGCCACUAUUGCGACCGAGUCUUUCAACCAGCACACGACAAUUCAAUAAUCAAUUGCACAAAUCAUCACUCAAUUUGUAAUAUCUAAUCAUCAAAUUCAUAAUCUGAAUACACAACAAUGAUCAGCAUGAAAUUCUGAGAAUUUAGGGUCCCAAAAUAAUUUUCGGAAUUUAUUAAAUAAUUAAAUUUAUUUCGAAAAUUAAUUAAAUAAUAAUAUCCAUAUUUUUCACAAUCCACACUCAAUUUAUAAUAUCCAAUCAUCAAUUUCAAAAUUUGACUACACAGCAGCGACCGGCACGAAAUUCUGAGAAUUUAGGGUCUUGACAAAAUUUUCGGAAUUUAAUAAAUAAUUAAAUUUAUUCCGAAAAUAAUUAAAUAAUAAUAUUUUAAUAAUUUUGAAUAAUAAUAUAUUAUUAAAUUAUCUAAUAAUUUCGAGAUAUUUAAAUAAAUCAAAAGUAAAUUCAUUUAUGUCACAUCAAGGUUUAUAUUAAUAUAACAUUCACUUAAUCUUAAAUUAAACACACUUUAAGUUAAUUAAGCACCUUAAUAUAAAUCUACACUUAAAUAAAUUAAACUAACCACCUAAUAAUACUUAACAAAAACUAAGCACAUCUAAAGCAUCAUUAACCUUCUAAUCAAGGUUUAGUGAGCUAAACUCACAGAUUAGCGAGCCGAGCGGACUGGAACGAUGGGGACGCCGGGGGGAACAACUUUCCUCAAAGCAGGCCAAGCAUUCGAGGUCGGGAAGCCGGCCAAAACGGGCCAAAACGGAGUUGAGAAACCCAUUUUUGCUUGCUAUUGGUUAAGGCCGACGGAGGGCUGCACGGCAGCGGUUCGAGCACGAAAUCGGCGGGGAUGGGCGGCAGCAGCUCAGGCGGUUGCUGCUGGUGGCUCCGACAGCUUUCCGGUGGGCUUGGCGAUAGCAGGCAGCUCGGGACGACGAAGGACGACGGUUGGGACGCGCGAACGAAGGUUGGAUGCGGCGCGACAGCGGAGCGGCGAGCGGGACAACGGUAAGCGGGCACAGUGCUUAGGCGACGCGCACGGACGACGGUGGCGGCGACGGACUCCGGCGAUGAAGUAGGGUGGCCGGUCGAGCGUGCGGGCUGGCCUAGUUCGCACAGUGCAGCUCCUCUCUCCUCUCUCUCUCUCCCCAAGCUUGAAGAUGAUAGUGAUGGGUCACCUUUUUGGGGAACAAAUCUCCACCUUACACUUGUCAACAUCCUAGCUAUUCUUGCCCCACACCAUGACAUCAUCACCAAGUGAUGUCAUACUCCACUAUCUCAAUUUCUCCCCACAACAAUAUUCAAUAGGUGCAAUUUAUUUUUCCGCCGUGGCAUGAAAUCUCGUACAUUAAUUUCUCCAAUUUCAUUCAAUUCUCUUCCAAUUGAGUCCAAUUGAAGUACAUAAAAUUAAUUCAAUGUUACCACACUUCAAUUCACAUAAUCACUUGACCAUAGAACCCUCUUAGAUCUCAAAAGUAUAGCCAAAAGAGGGCCUACCAAUUUUCCGAACCAAAUUAGCCAUGCUUUGAUUAUUUUGCUGAAAAACUCUUAUUGCAUGAAAAAUCUUCCGAAGACGAGUUAAUGAUCCUAAAAUGAUUUGUGACACACCAUGACUUCCAAUUUCUGAAUUCGAUCUCAAUUUCACGGUUAAUUUCACUUUGGCACGAUACUAGCGUGUCCUGAUCUACCGGGUAGCUUUUAGAAAUUUUUAUGCAUUUGACCUGUGGUUGAUUAAUUCAAGCCACAAUAUACAUCUUUGACACAUUGACGACUCUUGGUUGUCGAGAUAAUCUCAAGAUUUCAAACACAGACAUAUGGUACCCAAACGACAGAAAAGCCGGUCCAGUGCCGAUCGACAAGAAUUGUGAGAUCUAGUGGAAUCACCCACACUCGAUCACAUGCCUCUAUCUAGUCGACCUAUCUCCGAUUUCUAAUCGAUUUUUAACUGCGCCGUAAUGACCCUUGUAGAUUAACUCGGUCGAAAGGUCGUUUCCUGAUCAAAUUCUCGAGUCUGAUGCAUUAGAAUUUCUUAACAGCUUCACCUGAUAGACUAGUUAUCCCAUGAGUGAUCAGUUCAGGGAAAAGAACUAUAUGCGUACUAACGAAAUGCCCAUCUCAAUUUAUUGAAAAUAGAAUUGGAAAAUCAGGAUGUCACACAAACUUCGCACUUAGCAGGGCCAGCCCUCUCUCUCUCUCUCUCUCUCUCUCUCUCUCUCUCAUAGCCACUGUUGAAAUACUUUGAGGCAAAUCCACACCAAACCUUGUGCUUCUUCAAUGUGAAAAGCUUUUAUUACAUUCUUAAUAUGAAAAGCUUUCUUCCCCGGAUCAUCCUCCCUAAGGAAUUUACAAAAGGAGAACUAGUGCAUUGCAUUAGAAAAGGAGAAAAGGCUAUUAUUAUAGGGAUGUUUGUAUUGCAUGACUCAUGGGGUUUAAUUGAAAGUUUAACGCGUACUGGCAACUUCAGUGCAGCUUCCGAUUUAUUGUCAAUAAAAUUGGUGGGUUUACAAUUAGUUAGGUGAAGGACAAUCGUAACAUCCUCGAUUCCGGCUCUGUAAGGAUCGGUCAUAAUGUCCUAAAAGGAUCGAUCAUGGGCCAUUGGCCAUAAAUUGAUCGGUUCGAUCAGCAAGGAAUCACGGAUCAGUCACGAUCAACCGAUCGACCAACCGACUGUUCACAAAUUAGUCGAGGUGUCGGCCGUGAAUUUUUACCGACCAUACUAAUAGGAUAUGAUCACCAGCUCAUAAGAUGACUUUUUGAUCGUGAGAAUUGGUCACAUGAUGAUUUUGGAUCGGUGGAUGGUUAUGGGUCGAUCCAAUCGGUCACAAUUUCUGGUCGCGAGUGAUUCCGCCCAGUUAUGCACCGAUACACGGAUGAUCCAAAUUGACCAAAUGUGACUUCAUUCCGAUAAAAAAUGCAUCAUUCCAAAUUUAAUUCUUAGUGAUCUGAAUGGAAUCUCGAAUUGGUGAUGUCUGAUCAUGGAUCGGUAAUGCACCAACCAUGAACCCUAUCGAUGGAUUGGGUGCCGGCUGGAAUGAGCCCAAGGAUAGACUUGGCUAUUCCGUCACUAAUUCUAAGGUCCAUGAGUGCCUUGGCUUAGUGCUAGGCCAUGGGUAGCCUUAAAAUAGGUCUUGAAUCAAGUAAAGGACAACCGACCCUAUUAGUCGAUCGACAUCCAAAGGAAUAGUUUGGGCGAUAUGACAUAUGUGACUCGGGUGUGCAUGAUCGAUUUUCAGUGUGCUAUGAUCUCUUCCUCGGCCCCGGAAUCAACUUGCAUAAUAGAAUUCUGUAGACUGCUUCAUUAAUGAAGAAAAAAGACAAAGGCAUGGAAUAUUCUAGAAACCCUUCGUUAAAUGAAGGGGUGAGUUGUCCUUGGAAUGGUCAAAAGUCAUUAUGGUGGCCAAAAUAUCUUUCAAGAUUCUAGAGAAAGGCGGCACACAAGUGGACCAAUUAGAGAGGAUUACACGAGCCCUCAUUAAUAACCGAAUAUUCUAGAAUGGCUUAGGUGGCAACCUAGAGUAGCAUCAUCAUUAAACUUCAUAAAAUGCCCAUUAAAUGAGGGGUAUCGGUGGACCAAUGAGAGAAUGAAAAGUGGGUGAUAAUCAAUGACAUCUAGGGACCUAGAUUGCCGAGUAAGGUCUUUAGCUUGGCCAACUCAUCUUCUAGGCAUAAUCAUGAGGCAAAGUAGGCUUGCCACCCAAGAAAAGUAGGCGGGACACUUGAAAACAUUGGAGAAGACCGCUUGGCUUGGUAAUGAUGGCUCCAAAGGCUAUAAAUAAGAUGAGAACUUCCCAUAUUCCUCACUUGCCUUCAAUUUUCUCCUCCCACCAUCUCCUUGAACACCCUCUCCUCAUGCUCUCUCUCUUUCUUUUGGCCUCCAAGCCAAGCCACCCAAUCUUUGUAGCUCAUGUCCUAGUUCGAGGUUCAUCCAGGAAAGUAAAAUCCCUAUGUCUCCUCUAGGGCGGUAAUCUCUAUUGUCGAGCCUAGUUAGGUGCUCACCUAUCAAGCCGUUGGUUGGAUGUUAGAUCUUUUGUAUGGUCUUACUCAUGUUUGUGCUUGAAUGUGUGCUUGAGUUGUUCACGUUCAGAAUGGAGUCAAGGUUCGUUUGAAUUGAGUUCAGCGCAAGGCAAGGUCGCCCCAAGCCAUAAAGCCUUGGUUUCGGCAUAAAUAAGAUGCUGGGUCCAAGCCUCGCUUGGUGCGGGAAUCGCCUAAGGCUGUAAGGUCUUAAGUUGACAUUGAGGCGUGUCGAUCUUAUCCUUGAUCGGUACGGGGAUCGCCCUAAUCCAUGAGGUCUUGAUAAAACAUUGAACAUGCCGAUUUCCAUAGUCCACGUGGACGUGGGGACUUUGUGCUUGGCUUUGAAUGAAACCGCGAGUCGAGGUUCAUCAAGCUUGGGAUCGUCACUAAAGCAAGGUGUACCCAAGCCUCGAGGUCUUGGAUUGGUAUUGAGGUGUACCGUUUCCGAGCCUUGUUUGGUGCGGGAAUCGGUGCUAAGUGAUUGAUUCAAGUUACGGAUGAAAGGUCAUUCCCGACAUUUUUGCUAGUCAAGUAUAAGAAAUUCAUGACACACAUGAAUGAAUGAACACGCCUUCGGGCCAUGUAUGCGUUGGCUAAGAGAAAAAAUAAUAACCGGUUUGUAUGAUGCAUUUGUACAUGCAUUUAAAGAGAAAAAAGCGCCCGUUGCCACAUAGCAUUGUUGGCGAUGCCUCGUUCGUUGAACGGGAAGCCUCGAUUGAUCCCAGAUGUCCUAAUUGAGCCAAUAUGCCUAGAUCUUGAACCCGGAAGCCUUGGGAAGCUAGCCCCGAGAAGUCUCGGUUGAGCCGAGAUGCCCUGGUCGAGCCAGGAAGUCCAACAAGAAGCUAGAAGCCUCGGUCGAGCCGAGAGGGCCUGGUCAAGCUAGGACGACAAUAAAUGAAUUUGCAUGAAUGUUGGUUAUGCACAAGCAUGAUAUGUUGGUAUAUUAAUUGAUAAGCUUAUGGUAGUUUUGAUAUGGACGACAUGUAUUUAGAUAAAGCAUGACAUAUAAUUCGCAAUUGAUCUACCAUCGACACUGUUUGCGAGUGUUGUACUAACUAAGCUUUGACAAUAAGAUGAUUUCCAAGUAGAAAACUAGGAAUUUUACUUAUUGAAUUUCCCCAAAACUCAUCUCUCAUCUCUCAGUCUUGUAGGCAUUGAAGUCUCUCGUCAAUUUUGGGAGCUGCAGUCACGCUAGAGGAGAUAGGAUUUCACUUGGCCUAUGUGGAAAACUUGUAUUGUGAUGUAAAAAGAAAAAAGAGCUCGUAGAGAAAUGGCUUGUAAAAGUAUAGUUAUGAUACAAAUCAAUGUGUUUUGCGUGAUGUAUGUCCCAGUCUUCCAACUGUUGUUUGUUCGGUGAGUUGUUUGUUCAUGUUUCCACAUGUGCAUAAUAACAAGAUAAAAAGAAUUGGGACGGCGACGAGCCUGGGACUUCACAAAAAUAACCCUUGCUGCUCGUGAUCCUAGGGAUGGAGUUGGGGUCGUGACAACAAUAAUGGAGGUGUACCUUUUAGCAUGCCCAAAUUCAUUUGAGUUUCUUCUUCGUGCCUUUCACUAUGUGCUUUUGAGGUUUUGGAUUAAAAAAAUAUUUGAUUCUCAAACAUUUAAAUCAUUUAUGUUUAUUCUAUGGCUAUAUCUAUAGUUGCGGUAAGAUCAAUAAGAGUGCUAAAACUUUCAUACAGCACUCACUUGAAUAUCAAAACUUUUUUCUCAUUCACUUAAGUGUCAUAUUGGAAUAAAAUCGAUCAGUUGAUUAUCAAUUUUGACAAAUCAUCCUACAUUGAAUUUUUUUAACUUUUUUAAUUUUUUUUAUUUAUUUUGCUUUUCCUAAGGGCCCUCAUUGGUCAGGAAACCUGGGUGGCCUUGCCCUAGGCUACGAAUGCCUUGGGCGAGGCCAUUGGGGCCUUAUCGGUCACUGUCAUUUGCUUUGGCUUAUGCGCACCAUUAACUCUAUGAUUGAUGUAAUCAUGGUGGGAUUUGCUGUUGGAUAUGGACAUUGUGUCAUGUCUUUAAGGGUCUGUUGAUGGUGGUGGCAGAUAAUGCAACCCCUAGAUAAAGAAAAGAAAGGGUUGCGGCAGUCUAGAAUUUUUUCUAAGUGUUUACAUAAUACUAAAUUAUUUCGUAUUUAAAUUAAUCUCUAUAUUUUUAAAAUCAACUGAAAUGUGAUUCCUCCGUCAAUUGGAGUUCAAUGUCAUGGGUAAUCUGUCGCCGAGAUACGUCGAUGUGGCAAAAACCAUCCAUUGUUGAUGUGGAUUGGACAGCUCAAUUAAAUUUAUUCUUUUUAUUAAACGAACUCUUCUAUUUUCUCUUUAAUUCUUCUACUACAUUCAUCAACUAUCGAUGUCAUUGGCCAAUCCUUAAAGCAGCAAGCCAUCACAACCGGUGCCAUCCCCGGUAGGAGUGUCCAAAAACCUGACCCGACCCAAACACGACCCAAACAAGAACUAAACACAAAACAAGUGGAGUACAUGUUUCGGGUCUUAAUAUUGUUCGGGUAAUUGUUAGGAAACAAGAAAAUAAACAUGUUUUGGGUUGGGUUAGGGUCAAAAUAUUGUUCAGCCCUGAACACAUUAUUGGCUCCAUGUGUUUGAAACAAACACACUCUCCUCUCACCCAAACCCAAACACUCUUCAGUUUUCGCCCAAACACAUUAUUGACCCUCCCAACACGAUGAUUGCACCUUCUCCGGUCGUUGACUCCGCCGCCGCCGCCACCGCCACCGCCACUAUUGACGAAUGCACCCUCUCGUUGAUUCCAUAGCCGCCCUCUUCUUUGCUCCUUGUCCUCGUCCUUGUCCUCAUCGGCUUCCUCUCCUUCCUCGACUUCCUCCACCGCCUCCUUCUCCUCGAGAGGAUGCCCUCCUUCUGCCGCCUUUGCCUACAGACACACCGAGCAGGAGUCAAUGCCAAGCGAAACCCACAUCGCAAAAACUGAAAAUAUAGACAAUUGGAGCCACUGAAGCUUAUCACUGCCGUUGGCAACGGGGGUCAUCGUGGGGUCGUCUUCAAGAAGACCUUCGCUUGACGCUACCACACUCUUUUUCUUACCUCCACCCUUCACCUUCAUCCUCCCCUCCCCCCCCCCCCCCCCUAUGGAUUGAGUGAUUGAUGGAAUUUCAAAGUCCUGUCUUUGAAGGGGAGGAGGCUGGAAUUCCUUUGCUAGUCUCUGACUUGAGCUGGGAGCCUGAGUUGCUGCAGCCGAGUUGAAAUUGCUCCACGGAGGAGAGAGAAAGAGGAGAGAGAGAGAGAGAGAGAGAGAGAGAGGUGAAAAGCCUUUUGGCUUUGCAAGGUUUAUUUUCGCGUGUGUUUGGCGUCUCACGAUAGGGCUGAAGCAUUUGGUCAAGUUUUUACUGUGUGUUUUUUUUUUUUUUACUUAGAAAGAGGUAGGUGGAAAAAAACAAAGGAAAACCCAGAAACCCGACCCGACUUGAAUUUUCGAUGCGGGUCUAAUAUGUUUCGGGUCGGUUUGGGUCGGGUAACAUCUAAACCCGAUCUGACCCGACCCAUUGACAUCCUUAAUCCCGGUGUGGUCUUGUCGUGCCUCACCGCCAUCAGAACCUUCUUGACUAGCUCAACGCUCUCUCUCUCUCUCUCUCUCCAUGCAUACGUGUGUGACAUCCAAUCGAGGUUGAGACAAGACAUGUGACCUCCAUUGGUGGAGGCGCUCAAGUUCAUAUCUGGAUCGCCCAACUUGUCCUCCUAUCUAGUCUAAAUUGAAUUAGCUAGUUAAUCGUAUACACGUAGGUGUCCUCAUUGACGUAUUAAAUGGCUAGUUAAUAUUAUUAACUGCCUCAUCAGCAAUUUUUGUUAGUCUACUUCAUGAAAAUAUUGAAUGAAAUUCAUGAAGUACAAGUACCAUUAUAUUGCCAGAUAUUUUUGGCGCAACAUUGAAAAAUAGGGAAAACUCCCCCAGGGCGUGAUUAAAUGAAUGCGUGGUUUAAUAUUUAAAUAUUCUUACACCCAUACUAUUACUGAAAAACAAAAGAAGAUAAUACAAAUCAUCAAGAUCGUCAAUCGGGUACCUAAGCGAGAGAGCUUGAUUAAUAGAGGAAGGUCUUUAAUGGGAAUCAUAUUUGCAGAGAAAGGACGUGAAUAAUGUAUGUUUUACCUCUAGAUAAAUCAUUCAAUGCAACUGAGUGAUGUGAAGAUGCUAUUCUGUUAAUUUGUUUCAAUCUCCCUUAUGGAAACUAGUAGAAACGUUUUCUUGUAAAUUACGAAAACCAAUCCUCGGCUUUCACUUAAAUACUAACUUCAUAUCCACUAAUUCCGAAAUCUAUCCACACUUUGCAAGAAGAGGUUUCAAAAAAAAAAAAAGUACAGUUCGCACAAUCUAAUUUCCACAAUUUUUUAGACUCAAAAAGAUAUUAAAUCUGACCUUUUUUUUUACAUCAAGGCACAAAAUGCAUGCUCAAAAUAAUAGCAGACGCAAAAUAAAUCAUAAUAAAAAGUUGAUAAUGAUUUUUGUGUUUUCCAUGCAUAAUGAAAAAUGUAGUUGAGCCACAUAGGUGAAUAAAAGAUUAAUGGAAAAAUUGUCUAAUUGGUAUUAAACCUAUUGUAAGGACAUUAAUUCAAUUAUAAAUGAUCUAUUUUUACCAAUUUAGCGUUAAAAUUUUAUGCAAAAUUCUAGAUUCUAUUUAAAAUUGGCCAGAAUGACUAUAUUGAAAUUUUGCGUAAAAGUUGAAGACUAAAUUGGUAAAAUUGAAAGAUUUAUGACCAAAGUAACAUCCGUUAAAUAAGUUUAGGACUAAUGGGAUAAUUUUUUGAAGGAUUGAUCGCUCCAUUAUUUUCCCUGCUCUUAUAGCCCGUUUGGAUAAGAGAAUAAAUAAUAUAUAAAAAACACACACAUUUAUAUCAAUUAAAAAAGAAGUAUAUAUUUGUGUCUUACAAAAAAGAGAUAUGUGAUAUCUUUCACCCAGAUGGUUUUCAUUAAGUUAGUUGCUUGAAAUUUGUCGAUGUUGAUCAUCACGUUUGUCUACCAAAGGUCAACUUUCGCGUUUGCCUCAACUAAUUUAGUAUUUAGGUUAACUCCAAGUUCUAUUCUCGCGAAAGCAGUGUAUAAUCAUGGUGUUCUGUUCGAGUGCAAACGUAUCUUUAAUUAUUGCUUUGCCUGAACUUUGUAUUAUUGACGUAAUCAGCCCAAUGAUUGCAGAUUGUGCCCUCCACAUAGUAAAAUGACGUCAACGUACGUGAGAUAUUAUUAUCUCUUAGGCAUUGAGAGAAAUGUUUUGUAGCGAUGCCAAGGUUUAGACAACAAAUCCCAAAAACUUACUACUUAUCGUUCACAAGUUAUCAUCUUAUUAUGGAAUAAAGCUGUUGAAAACUCUUAAUGUUUGUGCAAUGUUGCCUCUGAAUCUUUCUUUUUUGCAAUCAAAUUCUUAAACUAUGAUCUGUUCGCUCCAAUUGGACCUUCCAUCAAGGGGAAAAAAAAUGAAAAUGUUUAUGUGGCCGUUAAGGAUCACGAUGGCCACAUGGCUCCUACGUGCUAUUCGUGAAAAACCAAAGAUGAGAAAAGUUAAAUUUUGUUCCUAAAGGAAAUUUAGUGCAACCACGUCACUGCGGGCUUGAGCCCUCAAGCAACUAGCGGUCGUGUUCGAGUUUGAUCAAUGGAGCGAGGACAGAGGUUGGAAUCUUUCCCAAUAGAAGCUCCCUUCAUCGGCUUUGCGUUUCGAAGCGGCGACAGCAGCAGCAUCUGGGCAAGGUGGUAAUAGCUCAAAUAGGGAGGCUCUCCUCCAACCUUUGAUGGCUUUACUGAUGAUGCUGCAUUGAUUUUCAAGGAAUUCGUGGAGCCCGAAGAUGACUAGAGAUUCUUCGCAUCUUUUUCUCGUCAUUUAAGUCAGUCAUAUUUGGGGCCUGGCCUAGACCGAACCAGACGAGCUCAAAAUAAUUUAUGCCGUGCCCAUAGGACUUGUUUAGGCCUGAUGUAAUCGGGUCGGGGCUGCUUUUAAAUGAAAAGCAACUUGAAAAGCAGCUUGCGAGCUCACAUUAUGAUUUGCCAUUUCCCACAAAAUUAUUUAUCUACGGUAGACAAACAAGCAUUCCUAUCCCUUUACAUAGCUAGGAUACAAACUUUCGCAGCAAAACAUUACCAUGCGAAUCAUUCUAUCAGAUUUUGCAACAAUCAAGCGAAUUCCCUGUCCCAAGCUCCAACAGGCUUACUUAUACCCAUCAGUUCUAGAAAGGAGCACCUGAUAGUCUAUGGGAAAGCACACUCAAAAAGCAUAUGUUGUCUAGAUUCAAGAGCAGCUGAGCACAAGCCACAUCGAUCAACUGCAGAAGCCCCAUUUCUUCAUCCUCCCACAGGUCUGCAACCCAUUCAAGAUUGCUAAUCAAGGGCCGAAACAGAACUUAGAAGUGUUCGGAUUAACCCAAAUCAGUUUAUGACAUACAACCUUUGGCCUUCUUUCUCUAACCAGGUUCCAAAACUCAGUCCAAGUAAAACAACCAUAUGCAAUUCCAGUGAACAUCACUCUGAUCGUCAGCAAUAUGACAAUGCUAAAGCGUCCCGCAUAAUGCUGUCUUGUAUUUGCACCAAUAGAUCUGAUCUUGUUGGAGGCAAGACCACUCAUCUCCGACUAGUAACAGUAGCUACCAAAGAGUUGAUAUAUCUAGAGCAGUAUCAUGAAUCACUCUCUGAGAAUAAACACCCCCUACAAAUGCCAUGAGGGUGCCAUGAUCACACCACAAAUGAACUGUCUUAUCCAUUGCGAGUCACUUGUCAAGUAUGUCGCUUAAGAAUGGACCUAACUUUUUGCAGCUUCCUUCAAGUAUAGGUGAGUUACUUUUAGGAGCAACAGACCGAAUAGAAGUCUGUUUUAGCAACAAAAGGACCCUGCUUUUAGCAACAACUCCUACCGAUUGUGAUUGUUUAUGCUAAUCUGCUGGUCUUUAACCUAAAGUUGUAUGGUUUAUUGUUCUCGCCCAUGCCUCGCCCAAUCCUUGUGGCUUCAUGAGCUUGAGUCUAUCGUCUCCUUUCCCAGCUUCCAUCUCAUGUUCAACCAACCUUUGAUCAUGCACUUGCCAUUUUCUUUUAUGGAGCAGCAUUGGUGGGUAGAUUUAGUAAAGGGCCUCGAAAUACUUUAAUCUGUGUUUUCCAUCACAUGUAAGAUUCAGUAGCUCGAAAAAUGUCAAAUUUGGGGCUUUGCAUAUGUGCUGUUUAGCAGCCGAAUUUUGAUAUAGAUACUGGUUAGUGUUAGGAUUGUGGUAAGAUGAUUGCAAAGUAUAUUGAGCUUAUUGAUAUGAGGAUGUUGCAAAUGUUUAUUCUCCAAUCCUUGUUGAUAUUUUUCGGUACUGACUUGGAUUUUGCAGCCAAUCUCCCUAACGGACUAAGAGAAUUACUGUUACUGGUAAGAAGGAAAAGGAGCCAAAUAGCCAGUAUACUUGCAUUCGAUGUCCCUAUUUUGAGGAAUCUAGAUUUAGAUGAGCACGGUGAGACAUUNNNNNNNNNNNNNNNNNNNNNNNNNNNNNNNNNNNNNNNNNNNNNNNNNNNNNNNNNNNNNNNNNNNNNNNNNNNNNNNNNNNNNNNNNNNNNNNNNNNNNNNNNNNNNNNNNAACGGUUUGAAAGGGAAUGGUCAAAAGAUGAUAAUCAAUCGUAUUCCAAAUGGUUUCUUUUGUUGCUGAAUACAAAAGUUAAUGGACAAGAUCUUGCCCAUUCAAGCAAUUAAGAAUCUCACCUUCGACAUUAAGGCAGAUAGCUACAGAGGUUACGCAGCAUCCUGAGAAAUUACUGAGACUCGCAGUGAUCCGUAUGGCGGCACUCUUGGUUUGAUAGCAGACAUCUACCAAGAAGGUUGAGCGACUUAUUCUGUUCUUUAGGUGUAUCGUCAAUUUAACUUAUUUUACAGUAGUCCAAGAGUCCGAAGGCUGAUAUACCAAAUUGAUUUGCAAAAUAAUCUGACAAACUAAAGCCAAAUAUUUAACAAAUGAACAAUAUUUAACUACUCGACUAGAGUCACAUUUCUUCGAGUCAGUUCUAUAUUCCCAGCAUUGGUUGUUUCUCAUAUAGCCACACAAAGCUUGUGUGGUUAUAAGCGAUGGGCACAUUGAAGUGACCAUUCAAUGCAUCAGUACACAGGGAAGCAACCCCCCCAAAUCAGCUUUGAAGAGGGAGUGCAUUCAUUUAAAUAUAUUCAUUCCAGAAGUCAUAAAAGCUACAAAAAUUCUCCCACAGCAUUCGUCAAUCCACAUGAUGGUGGAUCGAAAUGGACUCAACUGAGGAAAAGAAAGCAGCAAAUGUUCCAGGGACAACAUCCAAAGGAUAAAACCGAGUCGCCACAGUUUUAAGACAUUCCUUAGGACUCACCUUAGAUGUGAGAAAGUACGAAACACUGAUUCCGAAGGAGAAUUAGUAUAAAACAAUGAAGCACCAAGGAAGUAAAUUGAGAUGCACAAUUGCCUGACCAAGCACCUUGCUACAAAGUGGGUCAUUUUUCUCUCUUCUUUAAGUUCAAAUCAGAAGAUUGUCACAAACGGACAACGGGAACGUGGGAGUAAUCAUGAAGUGACAAGAUCUGGUGUUUCUGCUUCAACAAAUAACAAAUCCAUGUAUACUUNNNNNNNNNNNNNNNNNNNNNNNNNNNNNNNNNNNNNNNNNNNNNNNNNNNNNNNNNNNNNNNNNNNNNNNNNNNNNNNNNNNNNNNNNNNNNNNNNNNNUACGAGGCCAUAAACGAGAAAUAGAAAGCAAGCAAAGCAGAAGAAAAAACGUAUCAUCUAUGAAUAGAAAGAAGGCGCACCGUUUUCUGCGGAGAAUCCCCUGUUUCUGUUUCAAAGUCCACUGUUUCUGUUUCAGAGUACAUUGAAUCAGUUUCAGAGCUCCACGCUUGCUUUGCUCCAUUCAGAAUCUUAUCUUUGUAAGACUUCCAAGAGUCAUAACUACAACGACAGUCGGGUAACUCCCCGCUACCUGUUAUGCGUAUCAAGCAAUUAUCUGGUAUUUUUGAGCUCGAUGGAUCAAGAAUCCUUCCUACUGAUCUGCAACCCCGAAUUUGCAACUCACCCAAAAACUCUAGUUCGUCAAUGCCCUCAACAACCUGUAGGCUCGGGCACUGGUGAAUCUCUAACUGCUUCAAGUUCUUCGAGUUUGACAAACCGCCUAAGCUUUUUAGCGAAAAGCACUCUUCUACAUAAAAUUCUUCCAAUGAUUCGAACGCAGUAACAAAUUGAAUAUCCUGUACCUCGAGGAACCCCGACAGAAGAAAUUUUACAAGCGUCUUUUGGGAGCUUGAGAAAAGUAUCGCUCCCCUCCAAUGAUCAAUCAACUUGGGAGCUUGUAGUCCAUUGCACCUCGGCUCCUCCGGCUGACAAACCAAACUCUCGGAAGAUCUGCAGUCCUGAAUACGUGAUCUUUCUGACGAUUCUAAGACAUCGAGAGAUUGAACAUCAAGUUGCUCGGACACCUUGUUUUCUUUCGAUUUUCCCAAACUUGUUGGAAGGAAUGGAGUCUCCUUUUCCGAUGGAGGAAGCCCAUCGUGGUGUACUUGUUUCCCUCCAGUUUCGUAAAGCUCUAAAACUAUCAAAUUUGACGGGAGGUCUUUGAAAGUUGGCAAGUCUAGUCCGUAUAGAGUAAGUUCUUUCAGCAGAGAAAGGGAACCCAACUCUGUAGUUGGGGCGCGGACAUUUUUAAAGCAGAUUUGCAGGUUGCUCAAUUUGGUUAAACUCCCAAUCCACCCCAAGUCGCCGGUUUGGAAUUCAUUUGAUGGGUCUCUAUGUUCAUAGCCAUCAGAUAGGAGCAGUUCAACUAUAUUAGUAAGGUAUGAGAGGUUAGGGACAGUUUGCAGGGAAAAAGAUCUAAGCCGUAAAGUGGUCAAACUUAUGGGAAGCUUUGGCAACUCUUGUAUCUCAUGACAACCAUACAAGUGCAGUGUUUGGAGUUGACGAAACUUGCUCAUUGUACUGGGCAUUUCCGCAAUUGGGGUGCGUGAUACAUUGAGAGAUGACAAGUUUGGUAGUUCACCAAUGGUAUCCGGUAAUUUCAUAAUUUCUGUGUAUGAUACAUCCAGCUCCAUUAACGACUUUAUUUUCGAAACCGAGGCAGGGAGUUCAAUCAAGCUAGAACAAUGGUUAAGACAGAGGCACUGCAAAUUUUGUAACUCUCCAAUUUGUUCAGGCAAUUUUUCAAUGACUGACAAAACUGAAAAUUCAAGUCAGUUAGCCACCUCAGUUUCCCAAUAGAACAAUCAAUUUCCAUUAAAGAGUCAAAUGAACUAACAAUCAACUGCUUUAAAUUUGAGUACUCGGGAAAGGUCGGUGCCUUACUUAUCAAAGUAUUAAACCGAAUAGUGAGAACCUUCAAUUUCCUUGCUCCCUACAAAAGCCAAUAAAACAAUAGGAUAGACAAGAAAUAAAUAUGGAUUUAAGCUACCAAUGAGAAAAUUAGAUAAUAAACCCGUCAAAUUCUGUCCUUCAUUGAAUGAGAAAAUUAGACUAAGAGGGAAACUGGCAUACCUUGACUAGGCACUCGAACGCCUCUUCUGUGAUAUUCAUCCCAAAAAGAUUCACCACAACCGCGUUUUCUAGAUGCAACAAAGCGGUUGCCUCCAAACAUUUACUAGGACCAUCAUCAAGACUUGUAACGCUGCCAUACAAACGGAUGCAUUUCAACUCAGAAAGACAGCCCAAAAAGUCACCUUGGUAGGUUACCCCACUCCACGAAAGAAACCGUAUAUGUGGGAACCGCUUAAUUUGCUCCGAAGUGACAGUCAUACAAUCUGACAAACAGAGUGCUUGAACGCUUCUAUUGAUCUGCCAAUGACAUUGAGGAGGAGAAGCAGGAAUUUGUCAAUAUCCCACUAUUUUAUUUCAUAGAAGAGAAGAAAAAACGAAAUAGGAGAGAAUCUUCCAAAUCAAAAACAAGAAUCCUCAAUUAAGAAGUGGGCAUAAGCAAUUUUCUAUUCAAAUUUGGCCAUACUUUACCUCUGUUGAUCUUAAUUUGUGUUCGAUGUCCUCAUUAUCCCAUAACCUGGUAUUCUCUUCUUUAGCAAUUUUCCUUCCAAGGUCUCUCAUCUGAUCGUGCAUCCAAAAUCUAUCAUUAGCUAGAACCUUUAUCAUGCACCUCUGACUAAGGACUUGGAUGGCAAGCCGUGGGCAAAACUUACAAUCUUCCCACAUGUACAUUGGAUUUGUCUUAUUCUCACCAAUGAACAUGCAUGCAACAUCAAGAAAUAUCUGUUGUUGCUCCAGAUUUAAGGCAUCAUAACUAAUCUUUAGCUUUCCCAAGACAUCUUGAUGAGGUGUUUUCCUUAGCUUCUCUAGUGUCUCUACCCAUAUUCCAUUAUCUUUUAAAUUAAAAAGCAUCGAACCUGUUGCUUCAAGAGCUAAAGGUAGUCCAUCUGCAGUAGAGACAAUCGCUUUUGAAAGAGUGGAGUAAUUGGGCAGAGGAGAGUUGUCAUUGAAGGCAUGCCUACUGAAAAGUUUAAGUGCGUCUUCCUCGCUCAACCGCAUCAUUUCAUGUUCCUCGAAUUUGUACUUAAAUCCCCUGAUAUUCAAAACGUUGUUGUCCCUAGUAGUAACAAGUACUCUAGUACCAGGAUGCAAAGAUUUCUUUCCGAUUAGGUUUUGGAUCUGCUUGGCCUCAUCAACAUCAUCCAAUACAAUUAGCAUCUUCUUGUUGCAAAUUGUUUUUUCAAUCAUAUUGAUCCCAUGAUCAAUGUCAGUAAUGUCAGGAGCCAUUCCAAAAUAAGAGACAUCGAACAAUAAUUUUUUUUGUAGUUUGACUAAGCCCUUGGUCUUUGCCGUUUCCCUCACAUCAUCAAGAAAGCUGCAGUUUCUCCCAAAGCGAUGAAGUAGUUGGUUGAAGAUAAUCUUGGCGAGUGUUGUUUUACCGAUGCCUCCCAUCCCGUAAAUUCCAAUGAACCGCACAUCAUCAGAAUCAAUGUCUAAUAAAUCUUUUAUGGUUGCUAUUUGAUCUUCCAUUCCAACUAAAUGUUCGAUUAAAUGUUUCUGUCUUGUCUCGAGCCUGACCACAACCUCGUGAACAACCGCUUGGAUAAGUUCCGCAUAGCUGCCAACAAGUUGAGUAGUUUCAAUUGAGAAAAGGUGACAAAUUUGCAUGUUGACCAGCCAUCUAAUAACCAACCAGGUGGGAACUCGAUCAAGUUUAGCAUAUAGAAGAGAAAUGUUUGAUCUUUGUAUCAAGUGGAAGAAUCGGAAUUUUUUGCCAAAAAGGGUAGAAGAAUCAAAAUAUAAACAUCUAGUGAAUUACUAUAAUAGAAGAUUUACUUAAAUAUAAAAUGACCUAAUUGUACAAAAUAAUUUUCAGAGUCAUGGUUAGAUUGUUACCCAGAAUAUUUCUCCAACUCCCAUCCCUUGUUGCGACCAACUUCUUUGAGAGCUUGCUGACAUGUCUUUAUAACCGUGGAGCUGAACUUAUUCUUCCGAUCCUCCAUCUCUUGCACCAAAUUCGAUAUGGCAUCUUUGUACAACGGGGUUUUCAACUUCACGUCAUCGGGUUUCACAUCAUAGAAGAUGGGCAAUAUGACCUUCUCUUUCCCAUCUUCUUUAUAUUUAGAGGUGUUCUCCACCAUCUUCGCAAGCUCGUCGAGGCACCAGUGACUUGAAGCAUAAUCUUUGGAGAAGAUGGGUAUGUAAACCUUGGAAUUGUCAAUUGCUUGUAGAAGUUGCCACUAAUUAUUUCACCUGGUCGAAGCCCUUCAUCAUCGAUGAAAACACUAAUCCCAGCAUUUACCAAGGCUUGGUGGAGGAUAUCGGUGAAUGUACAACGAGUAUCAGGCCCUCUAAAAUUCAAGAAGACCUGGUACUCACCUCGUGAUGGAUUGCUGGUGCUUGUUCCUGUCUCUGAGUUCACCAUCGGAGCUCACUUCGCACUUAGCAAGGUCAGCCCUCUCACUUGGUCUUUGAGUUUGCCAUAUGACACUUCACAUAUUUGAAUCCAAUCCAAUUUGCCGUCCAAAAC